UUUUUUUUUUUUGAAACAGGUAACAUAUCUGUAAAUUAAUAACAAACUACACAAAGGGUGUGUAGUCCCCCAUAUUUACAUCCAAUAUGAGCAAAAAAAGAAGCUCCUAGUCCUUAAUCUUCUCAUAAGGAAUCUAGUACAUCAAAAAUAGAUUAUGAAUCUUCCAUUAAAUUAUGUUUACACACGAAAAAAGAAAAGCCCUAAACAUUUCAUCUUCAGUUCCUGAAAAUUGAUGAUUUUAACUUCAAAGUAACUAUGGUUUUUCUCUCCCCACACAGUCCACCAAAUGCAGGCGGGGACAAUUUUCCAUCUCUCUUUCAGAUUAGAAGUAUUGACAUCUCAUUCUAAUUUUCAUCACUUCUAUAGUAGUUAAAUGGAGAAAGUAAAUUUCAGAAAUGAAGUUGGUAGAAGGUUGCUUACAUCAGGGUAGCACGCAUUUGCUUAAUAGUGAUUUUUGAAAUCUCUGACAGUUCAAUCAAGCAGAUUGAUCAAAAUAUCUUUUGCUUUUCUCUCUACGUUUGUUUUCAUUGAUUAAUUUGAAAUGAAUAAUUCCUAAACCCCUUACUUCAUUAACCCGGCUUCAUAUGCGAUCUGAUUUUUGUUAGUGAUAAAGGUUUCUUUCCUGGUGUGUCUAUUCUUUAUCACUUAAAAAUAAUUUCUUGUAUAUCUUAUCAUUCUGAGUCACUAGGAACGUUUAUUCCUGCGGGAAUUGUAAUGUUAUAUGCAAUUGCAGUAAAAAAUUUAGUAGCGCGUCCAUCUUGUUUUCAUGUUGCUAGUACAAAUUGUUCUUAUACUUUAUGUAUAAUCCAUUUCAUGACAAGUACCUCACUCUUGUGAAAUGUACUUAACGUCCAACAUGCUUGCUUCCUUGUAGAAAAAAAUAGUAGUUAUCCCAUUGCGUUCCUUUCUGCCAUUCAUCGAAUCAUAGAAAAUUGGAAUGUGCUCCCAACCUGUCUGAUAUGACAAGAAAAUAUAUGCAAUAUAUAUCAAGUCGGAUGUUGUAUACAACACUACUGAUUGCCACUCCAAUGAUACAACUAAUUGGUGUUGGUGUAGAUUUAAGUUAUAUAUGCUUUGUCUGAGGUCUAUAGUGCCAGAGAUAUCUGAAUCUGUGCAUGUGUUUUUUGGUCUUUCACCUUUUCUCGAAACUACUAUGUUUUGAACAAGAAGCACCAUGAACAUUCUACUCAGAGGUUCUUACUUUGUAUAAUUCCUGGUGAUCAUAUCUGAGGAAAAAUAUGCUAAUUCUGUAUUACAUUUAUAUUUGAUUAAGCACAUAACUUAGGAUUGUUCUGCAGUUAUGUCAUAUGUGCUUGUUCUUGUUUUCUUACCUCGGACUCUUGGAAUACUGUGUUCCCUCUGUGCGUUUGUACAUCUGGCAUUUGGAUAAAGUCAUGACCAAUUGUGAGACAUGCUUUACACUUUCUUCUAAAAGUGAUGAAGCAGAUGCAUAUAGCCCAAAAUGAUCAGAUGAAAUUAAAGCUAAAUAGUCUUGGAUAAAAUUGCCUGGUCAUUAGACAUUUGUAAGCUCCUGCUCUCUCUGGUGGUUUCUACAUUAUUACUGACCACAAAAAUAGAUGAGUCCUUCUGAUGUCAGCUUCUAAUUACUUGUGAUUUCUGCAAGAACCUCUAAUCAAUCUUCAUGAACUUGUAUAUGUAGGUCAUCACAAUUGAACCAGGAGUAUACAUCCCUUCAUUGGUUGAUUGUCCAGAAAGGUAUACUUGUUACUUUAUCAAUUGAUGUUUCUCAGUUUAUUGAACUGGUUCUAUCUGCCAAAAUGUGUUGUGGUGGAUUAAUGAAGAAUUACUCUUUUAUGCAUAAAAAGUAGAGAAUCAUAUGACAAUGUAUUUUCUAGGUUGGUCAGGUAGAUCCUGUAGGUCAAAUCAACUGCUGUGAAGUUCUUAGAGUUGUAACCUGUAGCAGUAUUAGUCAUUUUGAGUAAUUGUACAAAAGAGUCCCAGUUAGGUUGGGGUUUCAGUGAAUGACUAAAGGCUAAUUAUGUUCAACCACGACUGGUAUCAGCAACCUUUAAUUCGAAAUUUCUUUUGCAAGAUUUAAAAAAGAUUUCACACCUCGAAAUAAAUAUUCCAUGUAGCAAUGGCAUUUUCAGGUUGUCCGGUUCUAGGAAAAAUGGUUGCUUUGUUGUAAAUCUAGGGGAGAAAGAAUAAUUGCUCACUUGAACUAAGUAGCUGUCAAAUUUAAAUUUCUGUUGCCUGGUGAUUCAUCUGUAGUUAAGGAGCUAGAUUAUUCUCUUGCCCCCCACUAAGGAAUAAAAGGCGCACUUGUUUUCUUAGAAAUCGUUCUUUUACUUGCACUUCUAUAUACUUAAAUCUCAUCAUCUAUAAUCACUUCUGUCAAUCAGGUUCCGUGGCAUUGGCAUAAGAAUUGAAGAUGAAGUCCUUAUUACAGAAUCGGGGUAUGAGGUAUGUUGACAGAAAUUGUUCAAUUGCUUUUAAGGCCUAAGCAACCAUAUGGUUCCUCUGACCCUUUGAUUAUGUACGAAACUAAUUAUUAGCGCUCGAAAGAUUAAGUUGGUUUUAUGGCAUUGUGAGUAAAGGUCUGAUGGUCGAUGAAUCUUUAUGCCAAUUUUCUACCUCUCUGGAUACAGGUCCUUACUGCUUCCAUACCAAAGGAAAUUAAACACCUUGAGUCCUUGUUGAACAACUUUGCCAAUGGAAGGGGAACAGACACUGGAGCUGCUCACAGUUAGUUUGCUUUUAAUUCUCCACGCCUCGACACAGUUACGAUUUUUUUUAAAAAAAAAGCAGCACCAGAAUCCAAGUGGUUCAUGUUUGUUUUCUACCAGAGCCAUUUCUAUUUUACUAGCAAGAAUUGAAUUGUUGAAUAAUAAUUUAUGUUAUUUGUUCAGUAUGAUUUGCUAGUAAGAACAAUUGCAUGGACUUUUCCUUCUAUAGAAUAAGUUGAAGGCUCAUUUGGAACUUGGAAGCAUUUCUUCGACAUGUAGUGUUGUCUUUUUGCUGUCCAAUAUCUUCUAAAUAUCAUAGACAUAUGUACACUUGGGAUUCGUUUUAUAAAUGGUCAAAAUACCAAAAUUGGUAAUUUCUUCCUCAUGAUAUUGCUUUAGGAUAAUAACGUUUUUGAUCUCAAAAUUCUAUUUUUGGUUCUCUUCUAUUGGAAUUGUUAGCGGAGAUAAGAAAUUAUUUCCUUGGUGGAAAGGAAGAUUAAAUGGAGUGGAGUUGGUAGUUGCCUUUAUUAAGUAGAGCUAUCAAUUGGUCAGCCACAUUGAAACAAGAAAUAAUAAUUGUAAGAUUGUCAGGCUGGUUGUUGUUUGUGGUUAAAUAUAAUGUAUUGCAGAGAUUCCUAUUGCUGCUAUAAGCACGUAACAGUAAUAAAUAUUCAUCCACAUUUGUUCAGCACAAGUAUUGCCAGCCUCGUACUCUGUAAAGUUGUACUUUUUCAAUAUAUCAUAUUCUAUGUAAUUUCAUAAGCGGGAUCUCGGGAGGUGGUGUCAGGUGUGUAUGCAGUCUUACCCCUGUCUUAGUGUAGAUAGAUAGAAUGUUUUCGAUAGAUCUUCUGUAUCGUCUUAUCGUUACCAUUUUCAAAAAAAAAGAAAAAGAUCUUCUGUAUCGUCUUAUUCUUUCAUUAUUUUCUUUUGCUUGAUAGGAUAGACAAACUAUAAUGUAUGAAGGUGACUACUAUGUAUAAUAUGCAUUUGAUUUCUCUUGCCUGCUCUUUUUAUUACUCCCUCCAUCCCAUUUUAUAUGCCAUCUCUUUCUAUAAAUAAUUGGUUCAUAAUACUUGUCAUUUCAUAAAAUCAAUGCAUAAAUUACUAUAUUGUUCCUUUUUUACCCUUGUGAGUUAUUAGCCUUGAAAAUAUACAUUUGACCAACUUAGAAAAACUAAGUAAAUGAUUCAUGUUCAUUGGUCAAAAUAAAUUAAUUCAUAUUCAUUGAUUGAAAACUUGAGUUUCAAAAAAAUUAUAUAAGGGUAGAAGGAUAAAGUUAUAUCAUUUUUUAAUGCAAGUGCAAAGUAAAAAUGUGAUAUAUAAAAUGAGACAGGAGGGAGUAAGUGUUAUUUUCGCAUUAAAUUAGAUAUAUUGGCCUAUGGCUUGGCCCCUGCUUGCAAGGCUGUGUGUACGUAUAUUAAAGAGCACCGCCACCUAUCUUGUACUUUUUCUAGGUUUAGCUUUUGAAUGAAUUAUAAGCUUGGAUAUAAGAAUCAUUCUCUCUGAUAUUAAUAUCUUAUUCAUCCGGUGUCCAAUAGAUGUACGUACAUCAUAGUAUUAAUAUCGAGUGCAAAUAAGUAUUUAUCGGCGUCUGCUAUCAUAGAGGUGCAUAUGGUUUUUAUUUAGUUCUUGGUGUGGAUGUGGUAGUUGACAUUAAUUGGUCUGAAAACAAACAUUAUUAUGCAUUUGACAUAAUGAUAAUUUACUGUGUUCUGAGGAAAAGAUAGGCCUAGAAAAUUACUAUUAUUUUCUUGGGAUUCUUCCAGCAGAAUUACUAUAUAUAGGUUAACCCUCCCCAACUACUCAUACUGUAUUUGUUAUUCCUUCCAACUGCUUUUAUUUACUAAUAAAUUCUGCAUUAAAUAUUAACAAGGCAUACUUUUGAAUAUUUAAUUUGUAGUACACCCUUCCAUCUAAUUUUCCAUAUUGUAGGACCAUUUUGUUUUCAAUGCUCGAAUCACUCUCUUUCCAUGUUUUUGGUGGACUACCAAGUUAAUGUCCUCCACACAAUUUUGGGAAAAACAAAGAAGUACUUGUAAUAUUCAUACUCCUUUCGUCUCAAAAUAAGUAUGGUUUUAGUUCAUUUUAUGUUUAUAAAAAGAAAAAAAAAACUCAAAACAUAAUCUAUAUUACCCUUAUUUAUUACUCCCUUGUCUCUAAUUACUUGUCCACUUUUGAAUUUUAUUUGUCAACUUUGGACUUUGCAUGCCCCUUAAGAAACAAUGAUUAAUAUGAGUAUUUAAAAAAAAAGAGUUUAUAUCCUUAUUGACAACCCUUUAUUUUAACUUUAUGUGACAUGUUUAAUACCACAAGAUAGAUUAACAUUUUGAUAUAUUUUAUAAAUAUUUAGUUUAAAAUCACAAGAUUCAUAUGUUUUGUUAAAGUCUAACAAACAAACAAAUUGAAAUAAAGAUUGACGGGACACGCACAAUUUCACGCAUUUUUUAUGUUUAGUGAGAUAAACAACUUUCUAGCUUAACAUUAUUGUUUAACCUUGUCAUAUGAUAAGGGUAUUUUGGAAAUUUGAGCCCUUUAACCAAUCCAUCUAUAUAUAUAUAUAUAUUAGAAACCCUUUAACCAAUCCAUCUCAAUCCACAACAUCUCUUUCAUUAGAAACAUAGUAAGCCAAAAAGAAAAAAUGUCUCUAGUGACAGAGGAGAUCAGAGCAAGUGCAACUGAAUUCUACACUGGAAAUGAUAUCUGCCAAGAGAAAUCAAAGUUGUUGCUGACUGAAGUAGGCCUACCAAAUGGCCUACUUCCUAUGCAAGACAUGUUAGAAUGUGGUUAUGUUAAGGACACUGGCUUUGUUUGGCUCAAAUCCAAGAAAAAAACAGAACACAAGUUUGAAAAAAUUGGUAAAUCAGUCCAAUAUGCAGCUGAAGUCACUGCCUAUGUUGAGCCCAAUAAGAUCAAGAAACUUACUGGGGUUAAAGCUAAAGAGCUACUUAUGUGGCUAACACUAAAUGAAAUAUGUGUUGAUGAGCCAUCUACUGGUAAAAUCCAUUUCAAGACCCCAACUGGGCUUUCUAGGACUUUUCCUGUUGCAGCCUUUGAACUUAAUGAGCCCAAAAAGGAAGUCAAAGAAGAAGUCAAAGAAGUGAGUGCUGUUGUUGUUGCUGCUGUGGAAGUGAAAGAGGUGUAAAAAGAAAAAAAACAAUAUAAUUUGUUUGCCUUAGUAUAAUCUAAUCUUUACUUAUUUUAUUAAACUUUGAUUAAAAAGUUAUUGUACUACUACUACUACUUAAGUUGAGGAUGGUGAUUAUCUAAUCCAUCUUUAUUGUACCCAUCAUCAAGUGGCUAAUUAUGUCAUCUUUUAUUUGAAUUUAGUGACAUUAUUAUUAUUAUUAAUAGUAAUUUCUUCCUCUUAAUUUUUCUUUAGGGAUAACAACAUUUUGAUCCUUCCAUCCAAAUUGUAAGCGGACAAAAGAAAUUAUUUCAUUGGUGAAAAAGAAAGAUCGAAUAUAUUUCAUGAAUGAAGGGGAGUUGGUAGUUGCCUUUAUUUAGAAGUGUUAUUAAUUGGUAAGCCACAAUGAAGCAAAAAAAUAAUUGUAAGCUUGUCCUGGUUGUUUGGGGUUAGAUGUAAUGUGUGUAAUCACUAUCGUAGAGAUUUCUAUUGCUACUAUAAGCAUUAGCUCAUUCAAGGUGUCUAAAAUCAAUUAAAGGCAUAUGAAAUUACUAAGCUACAACAAUCUAUUAUAUUAAGGGUGUCCAAAAUAUGUUAUUUAAUCAUUUCGUGUAUCAUUUUAUUUGUAUAUAUAGUAUUUUUCUCCGACAAAGGGUGUCCAAUUAGACACCCUGACUUACAUGUGCCUACACCCCUGCAUACAACAAUAGUUUUCUUAGGAUAGAUAGCUCAAUCAUAAUUAUUAAAAAUGGGCGAAAUGAUCUGAUGAACCCUUCUACUUGUAUUCGUUUGUAUUUUGGACCCUUUUACUUGACUAUUUGUCAACUGAACCCUUAAACUUAAUGAAACUCUAUGUUUUAAGCCCUUCUGACCGUUGACCAAGCUUAUGUGGCAGCUCAAUUAUUGGGUUGACAUAGAUGCGUGAUGUCAUGCUUAGAAGGAGUGUGACAGAUCAAAUUUUAGACUAAAAAUAUUUUUUUAAAAAUAGAAUAAAAAGAUCAAAAAUAAGAAAAUUAAUUUUUUUUAAGUUCUUUCUUUUUUUCCCAACCCAACCCACCCCUCCCCAUUUCUUUUUUUCUUUCUACUCUCAAACCCCCACUUCUCUUCUUUCUCACCUUUCCAGCCCUUUCCAAUUUCUUGUUUCUCUUCUCUUUUAUUUUUUCACAUUUUCUUCCUCUCGGAAUUAGAAACGAAAUUGUAUUGUUGUUGUAGAUCUGCAUUUUUCUUUUAUUUUCAGGGUAAUAUAACCCAUAAAGUGAUAAAGAUUCAACAGUUUUGAAAGAUGAAAAGUGAUUGUUGAAUGUUUUUGUGAAAUGUGUUAUGAAAAAUUGUGUAUUAAUAUUAAAGUGUAUUGAUGUAUUUUAAUAGCUAUUUGUUAACAUCAAUGGGGAAAAGAGAUUUAUGGUGGUUCAAGUGGUAGAUGUAAAUGUUAGUAAAAGAAAUACUAUUAAAAGUUGUGAAUGAAAGAAAUUUUGAAAAAAAAUCGAAUGAUAAUUGUUAGUUAUUUAGGAAUGUAAUGAUACUGGUGAGAAUGGAAGCUUGUGGUGGUAUCUCUAAUGUAAAAAAAAAAUGGAGAGAGGUGAAGGGAUGAAGGAGGAAUGAAGUAAAAAAGAAAGAAAAAACAGAUUUUUUUUAUUUAAAAAAAAAAAGUGAUGUGUCAUUUGAAAUGUGAUGUGGAUGAUGAUAUGUCAUUUUUGUCAAGCCUUUGAAGCUCACACACAUCGAAAAAGGUUUAAAAUGCUUAGUUUCAUUGAGUUUAAGGGUUCAAUUGACAAAUGAUCAAGUAAAAUGGUCCAUAAUACAAACUCAUACAAGUACAAGGGUCUAUCAGACCGUUAUACAAUCGUAUUUUUCCAAUAUAUCAUGUCCUGUGAAAUUUCAUAAGUGAGGUAUGAAAAUGUGUCUUACCCUGUCUUAUGAAGAUAAAAAAGUCAUUUUUAAUAGAUUAUUGGUAUAGUCGUAGAGAUCUUUCAUUAUCUUCUUUUGCUUCAUAAAGGAUAGACAAACUAUAAUGUAUGAAGGUGACUACUAGAGAGUAGACAUCAAAUUUGACGUUUACUGAGGCCCCCUUUAUAAUGUGCAUUUGAUUUCUCUUGCUGUUCUUUUCAGAAAAUGUGUACGUAAAUUAAAGAACACCACCUAUAUUCUCUACUACAUUUUUUAAAUACUUACGUGGUAUUUUUUCUAGGAUUAGCUUUUGAAGUUUUUACGUUUUCUUUGAAAUGGUUCUAGUUAAAUUAUAAGCUUGGCUAUAAUUAACUACUAUGUUAAAACGAAAACUUCAAAACAUCUUUGUAGUAUAAAAGAAUUUGGUGAAUUUCACUUUUAAUUUCCCUUUUUUCCCUUAAAAAAAAGUGCAAGAUCAGUAUGUUGCAAGUCAGAGGCAAAUCUAGGAUUUAAAAAUUUUGGAUUAUUUGAAAACUCCGAAUUCACUAAUAUUAAGCCAAAAAGGGAUAGUUGAUGUAUUUGCACCUUUUUAUGCUUUUCAUGAGAACACUAUUAAUUAUAUUUAGUUUCUAUCCCUUUCUCAAGAUAGAUAUACAUAUAUAAAUAAUUUUUCCAAAGUUAACGGGUGCACGUCCACCCCAAAUAUACAUGUGAGUUCGCCUAUGUUGCAAGUAGGCCUAGUUAGGAUAGGGUUCCGAAUUUCAAUUCCUACCCAUUUCUAGUAUGUAAUCUACAUUUUUCUAGUUAAAAUCAUUUUCUAUGCUAUUCAUUUCUUUUUCAUUAUGUUCAUUCAAUUCUCAGUAGAUAGAUAUACGACAUGUGUUUGCAUUCAAAAUUCAAAAUCCUAACGCCUAGCUAUGCUCAACAAAUAUACAUACUUAUUUCAUUUAUAAUUGCUAUAUAUGAUUUAGUACUAGUAUAAAUAAAUAUUAAAUGUGAAUAAGUAUUUAUCGGCGAAAAGAUUAGUCAUUUGACAUAAAUGACAAUUUACUGUGUUCUGAGGAAAAGAUAGGGCUAUAAAAACAAAUUUUGGGAUCCUCUUCAAAAUAAUUACUCCAGCAGAAUUUUUAUAACCCUCUCCAACUGCAGAAUUUUUAUAACCCUCUCCAACUACUCGCAUUACAUACUAUAUCUGUUCAAUAAUAGUUGUCCAUUAUUGACCUAACACACCUCUUAAGAAAUAAUAAAUAAUAUGGAUAAUAUUACUAUAUUAUUCUUUGACUUUACUUAAUUUAAUGAUUUGAAAAAUGUGUUAGAUGAUAAACAAUAUUGAAUAGCAAGGAUAAAAUAGACACAAAAGGUAAAUUAUCUUUUGAUUUUCUAAACUGGACAAGUAUUGUUAAACAACUAUUUUUAAUAUAUUGGACAACUAUUGUUGGACGGAGAGAUUAGGAUAGUUGUUUGCUACUGUAUUUGUUACUCCUUCCAACUGUUUUUUUUAAUUCUGCAUUAAAUGUUAGCAACCCCUUUUUUCAAUAUUUAGUUUGCUGUGACCUUCCAUCCAAUUUCCCAUAUUGUAGGUCCAUAUUUAAUUAUUUUUUUCAAUGCUCUGAUGAUCACUUUUUUCUAAUCUUUGUGGACUACCCACUUAAUUAAUGCCCUCCAUACAAUUUUGGGGAAAACAAAAAGAAGGUACUUGUAAUAUUGUAGAGUAAAUGACAUAAAUAGUCCCUCAACUAUAGGAGUAGAUAAAAAAUGGUCCCUGAACUAUACACUUAACAGAUUUAGUCCUUUAACUAUUUACAAAAUAUGUCAGCUUUGGUCCCUUAAUUAUACACUUAUCGGUUUUAGUCCCUUAAUUAUAAAUUUACCGAUUUUAGUCCUUUAAGUAUUCACAAACUUAUCAAGUUUGGUCUUUGUCCAUUUUUUAAAAUACAAAUAACUUUGAUUUUUAAUACGCACCAUCCUAAACUUUGAUAGUUUUUGUUCGAGAAACUUAUCAUGCAUCAUGAUAAUCAAUGCAAAUUUUAUUUAAUUUACUCAAAUUUCUUUACGUAAAAUAAAAUGAAUAGACUAAUAAAAUUGAUCUAUUUUAAAAAAAAGUUUAAAAAAUUGCAAAUCUACCAUUUUAUAAAUUACCAUUUCUGAAAAAUUAAACAAAUUCCAUUCAAUGAAGUUGGAGUACAAAUUUUGGAUUUAACGUGUAAUAAUUUUUUUCUUUUUAUAAUAAAGUUUAACAUAUUCAAGUCAUUAGUAACAAUAAUAUGCUUCAUUUUAUCCUCUGUUGAAUAAAAUUAUUAUUUAUAUUUUAAAUCGUUGAGGUUAAGGUUCUUCGCAUAAGGUUAAUUUGAAGAAAAAGUAACGGAGAGAGAACCAACAGAAAAAGUUGCUAAAAGAUUUAAUUUCUCGAGGCAUAGAUUCUGUUAAUAUAAACCUAAGCUAUUUGUAUUUAAAAAAUGGACAAAGACCAAACUUGAUAAAUUUUUGAAUACUUAAAGGACUAAAAUCGGUAAGUUUAUAGUUAAGGGACUAAAAUCGGUAAGUGUAUAGUUAAGGGACCAAAACUGACAAGUUUUUGAAUAGUUGAAGGACUAAAUCCGUUAAGUGUAUAGUUCAGGGACCUAUUUUAGAUCUACUCCUAUAGUUAAAGGACUAUUUAUGUCAUUUUCUCCAUGUAUUUCCUAUAAAUAUUGAUGCAAUGAAUAUAAGUAAUUGGCCUAAGUCAUCUGCGGCCCCUUAAAGUUAUCCGCAUAAUUCAUUUAGACACCUCAACUAGGGUGAGUACCUAUUGAACACUUUAACCUUAAGAAAUUUAUAUCUAUUAGACACAAAAUGAUAAUCAGUUGAAAAACAAAACUGCGUGUAACUCAAAUGCAAAUAUAUAAUAGGUUAUCCAAUGAAACAAUGACACGUGGCGGUUGAAUUCAAUUUAAAUAUUCCAAAAAGAAUUUUAAGAAAAUAAAAAUUAACUCUUUUAAUUAACACCCCCACCAUCCGUACGUCUUCUUCUUCUUUUUGUUUAGACCGUUUCCCCUUUCCGUCGGCGCCGACACGCAAAUAAAUCAUCGCCCCACUCUUUCAUUCCCUUUCAUCGGCAGCACCUCCUACCAUUGCCAUCAUUUUCUUUUGAUUAAUAAAUAUUUAUCACAGUUACAAGAAUUAAUAACAAUUUUUUGCCUGAAAAAUAAUUGAUUCAGUUUUCUUACAUCGGAAUAAAUGGAGUUUCGCUGGAAUAUUUGAAACCUGAAAAAAGAAGAAAAGAAUAGAAGAAUAAUUGGAGAGGGUGAGAGAGAAAGUUAGAGGGGGUGGGGUGGCAUGAGUUGAAAGGGAGAGAGAGAAAGUUGGAGGGGUGGGGUGGCAUGAGAGGCAACUGGAAAGUACAGAGAUGGUGGAAUGAUGUUGGAUGAAAAUCGUUGAGGCAUCAUCCUGUGAAGAAGAAGACGCCUUGCUUUUUUUUUAUAUUGUUAGUUAAUUUUUUUUUGGUUUCUUUAUUAAUUAAUGUCAAGGGUCAAUAAAGCAAAAAAAUGUAUUUUUUCAGGAAAAAGAAAAAGGAAAAUGUUAUUUGGGCAUCUUCACGCGCCCAUGGAAAGUGAAGAACACUUUUUUUGCCACAUCAGUAUUUUGUGCUUAAUAGAUACACGUUUUGAAUAUUUUAGGUGUUCAAUAGGUACUAGCUUUAGUUAAGGUGUCUAAGUGAAUUAUGCGGACAACUUUAAUGGGCUGCAGAUGACUUAGGCCUAAGUAAUUUAUUUGUUAAACACUUGCGGAGACGGCCGUUUUAUAUACGCAUCCACUCACCAAAUUGUAUUAUCAUUUGUCUAAUAAUAGUUGUCCAUUAUAUUAUUUUAAGAUGUUUAAUAAUACUUAUUCAUUUUAUGAAAUUAAUAGAUAAUUUUACGAUUAGUUUCUGAUUUACCCUUAUAAUUAUUUAUAGUUAUUUCCCUAUUAUAUUUUUCAAGACAUUGUAUUUAUUACUCUCUCCGUACAACAAUAGUUGUCCACUAUAUUAUUUUGGGAUGUCCAACAAUACUUGUCCACCUUAUGAAAUCAAUGAAUAAUUUUACACUUGCUUCCUAAUUUACCCUUAUCAUUAAUUAUAGUCAUUUCUCUAUUACAUUUUUCAAGACACUGUAUUUAUUAUAUUCAAAAGGUGAUUUAGUAAAAAUUUUCUUCUAUUUAUAAAUUAGCAGUGUGCAAAGUCAAUAGUGGAUAAGUAUUGUUGUACAGAACUCAGAAUAAGUAUAUUUAAAGGGUGAUAUAAUAAAAUUAUCCUUCUAUUUAAAGUUUUUUUACAAAUGUGCGAAGUCAAAAUGAACAAGUAUUGUUGGACAGAGGGAUUAUUAGUUAAUAUGCUAAUAUAAUUAAUUGACAUCGAUCAAAUAUACAAAUCAGUUAUAUAUAUCUCUCGUAUCUCCUCUCUCCCAGAUUUCACUUCUCUCUCUCCUCCUUUCCCUAUCUCAUUCAUCUCUCUACUUCUUAUAACAUGUAGCUAUGAAUCGUAAUUAACUUAUCUAUACCUAAGGAGGCUGAUUUAUAAUCUUAGUUUUUUUUGAAAUUUCCUAUAAAAAAAAUCCUCCAAGUUUCUGAUUUGCUCUUUAAAUUGUCAAUUUCUUUUUUUUUUUAAAACAUUACUAUUGUUUAAUGUAGGCAUAUCAUAAGGGCAUUUGAGAAAUUUAAGCCAAAACCGAAGGGUAAUCUCUCAUAUUGACAUCUAUAUAUUAGAAGCCUUUUUGCCAAUCUAUCUCAUUCAUUACAAAGCAAAAUAUCCAUUGCAAAAGAAAGUAAAAAAAAAAAUGUCUCUAAUAACAGAGGAGAUCAGAGCCAGUGCAACUGAAUUCUACACUGGAAAUGAUAUCUGUCAAGAAAAAUCAAAGUUCUUGUUAACAGAAAUGAACCUCCCAAAUGGUGUUCUCCCUAUGCAAGACAUGUUAGAAUGUGGCUAUGUAAAAGACACUGGCUUUGUUUGGCUCAAAUCCAAGAAUAAAACAGAGCACAAAUUUGAAAAAAUUGGAAGAUCAGUCCAAUAUGCAACUGAAGUCACAGCUUAUGUUGAGCCCAAUAAGAUCAAGAAACUUACUGGGGUUAAAGCUAAAGAGCUACUUAUGUGGUUAACACUUACUGAAAUUUGUGUUGAUGAGCCAUCCACUGGUAAAAUCCAUUUCAAAACCCCAACUGGGCUUUCUAGGACUUUCCCUGUUUCAGCCUUUGAACUUGAUGAGCCUAAAAAGGAAGUUAAAGAAGAAGUCAAAGAGGAAGUGAAAGAAGAAGCCAAAGAAGUGAGUGCUGCUGCUGUUGCUGCAGUGGAAGUCAAAGAGGUUUAAGAAAAAAUAAAUUGAUUUGCUUAUUUUAUUGAGAAAAAAAGAAGUUUUAUUUUGAUUUAAAAGUUGUUGUUUUACUACUACUACUACUUAAGUUGAGGAUUAUGAUUAUGAAUUCAUCUUGAUGUACUCAUGAUUAUGAUCAAGUGGCUAAAUUAUGUCAUCUUUUCUUUGAAUUUAGUCACAUUAUUAUUAAUAAACUUAGUUUAAAUCAAAAGUUCAUUUUUCAUUAGUGUUGGUUAUAUUUUCUUAUAAUCAAUCAUGAUUUCUGAAUCUAUGCUUGAUUCCAAAUCUCGAAGCAUUUAGUCAAUUACUAAGACUCACUAACAAGAUAAAAACUUAGCUAAUCGAUCAACUAAGCUAUCGUAUUAUUUCUUUUGUUACGUGUUUCAAUUUUCAAUUUUCAGUUUCUUUUUGAGAAUAUGUAAUUGCAACAACAUUGAGAUGCAAAUUUGUGUUAGGGUGGAAUCAAGAAUUUUAAAUCAUUAAAGCUCAGAUAACUAUCUUGAGGGACAAUAAUAAUAAGAAGGGUACUCUAAUAUUUGAGUGGUACACUUUGUGACAGAUAUGGCUAAUGACAUUAAAUUAAACCACGGGUUAUAAGCUAUCUUUCUCCAACUUGACGGCUUGCUGGGGAAUUAAAUUCAUAUAAAUGGGCUAAUAUAUUGAGAUGACAGAUCAAGUUUUAAUAUAUAUAUAUAUAGACUCCCGCCGAUUUCUGAUUUUGACGUGACAUGAUGUUUAUGAAAAUAAAGAAUUGUUUUGAAUGUUGUGAUCUUACACUAAAGAUAUAUAGAAUAUACCAAAAAUAUCUUAGUCUUAAACAUGUAAUGUAGAAACUUAGAAUUAAAAGUACAAAAAAAAAGAAUCAUUUUUUUUUAAACGAACAAAAAAGAAAAGUAAGAUAAAUAAAUUAAAUUGAAGAAAUUACUUUUACGAAAUAAAAGAAAAAUAAUUAUCACAAUAAAAAUAAGACUCAAGAACACACAAUUCAUAAAUGCUGGCCUAAAAAGUAUUGAGUUUGGUAAAAAAAUAAAAAAAUCAGUGAGAGGAUUCCAAUCGUGUAGAAAAAGAAGAAAGAUAGAAUACGUUUGAGAAGAAUUAAAAAAAAAUGGCUUGGACUAAAGUAGGUGUCCUAAUUAAAAUCAUCACCUAACAAUUAUUGAUUGGUACCUAACUCAUAAUUAAGACAUCAGCAAUGAAUAAUUAUCAGUCUUGUUGUUGGAAAAUACCAACAGUACACGUACAUUUUUUUUAUUACUUACAUGUCGUGUUUCUCAUUCUUCUUAAUUUUUUAAAAUUAAUUUGGAGAAGUUUUUGAUUAUUUUCCCCCUUUUCGUGUUUUACUACUAAUAUAUAAUCUCUCUAUUUGUCAUUCAUCAUUCGAUAAUUAAAGUAUUUAUAGUGUUUAAGAAUAAUUAUCACUAAGAUAAAAUGGUAAAAGAAUACUUUUUCCGUCUCAUUAUAAAUGUUACUUUAAAAAUUUAAGAUAAAAAAUAUUUACAAUAGUGAGAACUUAGUAAAUGAUAGAUUAUAUUUAGUAAAUAUUUUUAAAAAUCAUAACAGACGAUUUGUGGCGGAGGGAGUAUCAAUCUGCCACUUUUUAUUGCCCUCCCAAAAUUGAUCAAGUUGCUGAAUUAGAACUAUUGGUUGUUUAAAAACUAAAAAGUAAUGUAAAUUACAUGAAAGUGCAAUUUGGCUACAUUUACGGGAUGCAAAGUUUAAUUAAUUUUUUCAGCUAUAUUUGUUCUAUUAACUUCUUAGUUCACAUCUUCAAAAAAAGAAAUAUAAACGUUAUUAUUAUAAUAAUACGAAGAAAAACGUGCUACUCUUUUUGUAGUAAUCUCAACGGCCAUUGCUAUCAAAGUCAGAGCAACCCAGAAAAAAGUGAUCCAUAAGAAUCUAAUGUACAACAACCUUACCCUCCUUUUGUAUAAGAGACUCUUUUCACAGCUCAAAUCCGUAAUCCCCUGAUCAAAUGACAAUCAACUUUUGAAAACGUAUAAAUACAUAGUUUAAAAUUACACUCCGAUAUAUGUGAUGAUCUCCUUCGAGUACGUUCAUACAUAGGAUAAACUCAAAUGAUAGAACUGACAAUGUUAAUAAUAUUUCCGCCCCAUAACAUUAAGAACAAAAGAAGUACAAAUUUAUAUAAGUGCAUGAAUCUUGAAGUUGACAACAACUGAUGUUGUCCGUAGGCUUGGAUUACACUAGAGCAGUCUAUACACACAAUUUAACUUAGCACAACAAUAUUGACACACCUGUAAGGCUUCUCUAAAGGAGUACAGGGUUCAUUUUCAAAUUCUUGAUAGGCCACAAUCUUUCUAAUCCACACAUCCUAAUAUAUGUUACAAACCUGAGCAGACCACAUUAUCCGUUAAACCUACAGAGGCAAGUAAAUGAAAGAUUAGAUAUGGCUAAACUUGAAAACUUACUUAAUAAAGUAUUAUUAAUCAAGAACCUCAAUGCAAACAAUUCACAUACGCAACACUAAAUUAGCUCGAAAGUUGCACAAAAAUGGAUGUAGUAAAGACACUGUGACACACUCGAACAAUACGUGAAUCAACCUUACUAAGCUUAGGAACCAUGAGUUGGAAGUAAGCUAUUGAAACAAUGAAAUGAAGUACAAGAUUCUUGUUUCAGGUAAGAGAGACUUAUUAAUCAGUAGAGGAAAGGAGGUCGAGAAAAUAUGCAAAAAAAUUACAUAGAUGUUGGAAAAGCAUGCAGGCCUAAGGGACAGAGUAAAGAUACAAAACAAGAACUUAAACUUCAAAAGGAGCGGUUGAAGUAACUUCUGUAUGGUCAGGAAUCCCUGCUUGUUGGUGCAUAGAAGGAUUUUUAGAUGAGGAACACAGUUGUUAGUCCUUUGUAAAUAAGGAACCCUAAGUAGUUAAAAGAAUAGUCGCCACACCAUGAAGGAAUGACAUAAGGGCAGCCUACAUUUUGGGCAUGAGCCCCUGAGUACAGUCAAGAUAAGAGAAAGCUCUGCUGCUCAUUAGUCCUGUAAGAAUGUUACUUGGGACCAAGGCGAGCCCGCAAGGGGAAGGAUGGACACUAGAUGCCUGAUGGGACAAGGGGAUAAGCUGGAAUAGGCAGCCCAAACAAGGCAUUACCGGGGGAAAUAGGCAAAAGAGAGAAAGGGUGAAAAAAUUUGUUUACUGAUUUGCAAGACAACCAGAUAAAAUAAAAUCAAGAGAUGAGAAAUCAAGGCAACUUGACAAACCGUUUUAAAAACAAAAGGAGCUUUGUUAAAAUGAACACAUGGCAGGUAGUAAAAGCUAGAACAGUCUGAAAGCAAAGGCAACUAUAUCUAUAAUCUAUAGUCGUAGUUGAUAGUAGCUAAAAGCGCCUCAGAGUCUAGGGGAAUGAUAAAAGAGAAUAGGGAUCAAAAGGAUGAUUUAAGACAAUUAUACCAUGAGAAUUGGGGUUAAGGGGCCAGAGAUGGUAUACAUAGAGGUGCAUGUUACCUCAAGACAGAACUUGGUUAGCCUCACUACAGUUUGAAGAGAAAACUAGAAUUUCACACUAAGAAAACCAUUGAAUUGUUUUACUUGAGCUGAGGGUCUUUUAGAAACAACCUCUGCCUUCACAAGGUAGGGGUAAGGAUCUGCGUUCACACCACCCUCCCCUGAGCCACUUGUGGGAUUACACUGGGUGUGUUGUUGUAAAACUGUUGGAAUCAACAAUAGCAAAAAACCAAUUUUUAGACCCAUUAUAAAUAAAGCACUAGACUAUACUUUUGCCACCAACAUAGGAUUUUUCCAACUCCUCAAAUAGGAAGAUAAGUAUGUACCUAACAUACAUUUCUACCACACUAUAUACAUCACAACUUCAGUACAAGAUGAAUAAUGAACAAAUGACUAAGAGAAAAGCAUAUACCAUUAAGAAGCCACACUACAAAUCCUGAUUGCAGAUCUUCCAACAUUGCAAUUUCUCGAAAAUCACAACUUUAAUGCCUGGAAAAUCAAGUAUGUCAAUAUUGAUCAAAUUGAAUGUAAGAUACACAUCUAAGUAGUAUGUUGAUAGCUUUAAGAUAAUAAUAUUAGCUAAGGAGUUUAUAUGUGCAGCAGUGUAUUAGUCUAGUUCACAUACAAGUACCAAAUAUCUCUUCAGAAAUGUUAGUCAUGAAAUUGAAGCUUAUUACAGGAACUCUUAGGGCUAGUGGGCAGUGGAUAUCAGCUAGAGCAAGGAGAAGUAACCAAAUGUGUAUGAACAAGUUACCAUACUGAACAAGAUCUAGGCAGUCUAUGGCAGCAAGCUCUGGAUCCUGUCUCUUUAGAAUCACAUAUAUUGUGGUGAUCCAAAAAUUGGCGUAAAAGCAUCUAGGAUUUGUUUAGGGAUAGAGGGUAUACAGAGAGAGAGAGAGAGAGAGACGGGGUUUGUUCAUGUUAGGGUCAGGGGGGAUGGGUGGCCGGAACUCUGUUCCUCCAAUAUAAGAGCUAUCUAACAUUACAGUAUCACCAGUGUUUAGCUAGCUGGAGUUCAGAUUUCAGAAGGUCUAUGAGUACAUACAUACUUGAAGGAAGGAAACAGAACCUGCAAAUUACUUUCCAGUUUAUUAGCAAGUUUACCUUCACGAGUCAUUUUGCCAUCAUAUAUAGAUCAAAAAGCAAUGUCACAUAACAAUAAAAGAAAAGCAGAUCUUUUUCCAGGACAGAAUGUGUGGUCUUCCAUGCCAAGGAAAAAUUUAAUCUAAUUCAUGGAUUUUUAAUUCGGUCAUCCAGGAAACUGUACCUGGGAAGCUCUGACCCAUUUGCCAUUGGUCCAGUCCAGAUGCAGCCGUAUAUCAGCAUGCUUAAACUCCAAUUCCUCGUUGCUCGCCUUAAAGUAAACCUUGUAUCUCUGGCCUUUAAGUACUUUAGAAAUCACACCCACCCACCAGCCAUCAUUGUGCAGAGCAUCAACUUCUUCAAGGACUUUGAAGCUUUCAAAAGAUCCAAUAUCAGGUGGACGAGGUCGUAUAUGCAAACGAUCAGUUUCUUCUUGCAAAAACGCUGUAUCGUCAUUGUUUCUUAAGGUCUGAUACUCUAUCAGGUAGUUACCAUUAUCUAAAAACUUGACAAUAGUUGCAACAAACCAAGCACCCUCAAAACCUUCUUCAUCACUGCUGACUUCGACUAAUGACCCUUCGCUAAAAAUUUCUGCAGCUUCGUUGUUGGGUUUUGUUUCAGUAGAUACAAGUUUCUGUAUUUCAUGCCGAAGUCAAAAUAAGUGGGGAGAGAAACGAAACAAAUCAAAAAGUGAAACACAAAAACAGAAUUGAGAGUUUUUGUCAAACAAAACGGGGAGAGAGAAGAAACAAAUCAAAAAGUGAAACACAUGAACAGAACUGAGAGAAAGUCUGAAACUUGAAAAAUGUAUGCCCUAUUUAAAUAAUUUUUGUUUAUGUGUUAUCUCAUACAGACAUGUACGAAUUACAAUCAUGAAAAGAAAUGGUAAAUAUAGACAUAUUUCAGAUGAACUCAAGUGCCAGAUUUGCUCAUCAGUUGGAUAUAAUAAUAGAAACAUGCUUCCAACUCCCAUUUUGUUUCUGGGCGCAUGCGUUUAGCAUCUAUGCUGAAGCUAGAUUGGUCACAAGAGAUGUCAGAAGCCUGGCUUAAAAUAAUUAUUUUUAUCAAUGACAAUACCAUUUAUACUCCUAUAUACUUGCAUAGUCAUCUCAUACUACUUCUUUUCAAUAGUAUUCCACCUGAGUGGUAAAGAGGAUUUGAUUAAUGAUGCAGAAUCUCUGUUAACACACCACUUAAAUCCAUGUUGAUUUGAAGUGAAGCUGUAUCGUUUUGUAAAUAUUCAAGCACAAUUCGUGUUGCUUGUAAAGAUAUGACACUUGGGGCCUAACUCAACCCCAAAAGAUAGCUCAUGAAGGGAGGAUUGCCCAAGUCCAUAUAAGGAUACCACCAGUCCAUUCCCCAACCAAUGUGGGACAUUUACCCACUCUAACACCCCCCUUCACGCCCAGGCCCAACUGGAGCGUGGACCGGGAGCCCAAACGGGGAUGGACCUGGCUCUAAUACCAUGUAAAGAUAUGGCACCUAGGCCUAACUCAACCCCAAAACUAGCCCAUGAGAGGAGGAUUGCCCAAGUCCAUAUAAGGAGACCACCAGUCCAUUCCCCAACCAAUGUGGGACUUUUACCCACUCUAACAGCUUUUAUGAUAUUCAAGUUGCAUCUCUGGAAGAAUGUGACUCUAACCAAAGUGGAGUGUUUCACUUGGUUGGUAUCCAAAAGAGCAUGCUUGAGUCAUGAGGCUCUGCAAAAGAGAGGCAUCAUUGCCUCAAGGUAUUUUUUGUGCAAAUAAGCUCUAGAGACACCUAUUUCUUCACUAUAAGGUAACACAACAAAGGUUUGGGCCUAAGUUGUGUGGACUCUUCACUUUCAAUGCCGCACCCGUGUUGGAUUCUUCAAAAAUACACUACUUUAGGAGAAACCUACAUGCAUCCGUUGACAUUUUUGAAGAGUCCGAGCAACAUAGAUUUGGGCCCUUUUUUACCAGCAUAGCCAACAUAUACUGGACCAUGCCAGAACAUACAUCAGGCCUGCUAAGCUGCUGGAUUAGAAGGGGAGGCAGCAAGAGUCAGAAGAGAUGGUGGAGACCAGCUCUAACUUGCAUAUGGUGGAUCAUAUGAAAAGUAAGAGAAUUUUUUAAGGGAAAGAAUGUACUAUAGAAAAGACUAAAUGGGAAGUUAUUACUUCCUUAGGCUUUUGGUGUAAAGUACAAGAUAUAGAUGAAGAGAUCCAACUAGUAGAUUUUAUAACCUACUAAUUAGUACUUCGUUAGGCUUAGGCUUUUGUAAGUAUUCUAUCUUCUCUUUUCUUUUGUAAUACCUUUUUGGAGGCUACCAGCAUCGCCCUUAAUGCCGAGGAAUACAAAAAGUUACCAGUUUCAAAAAAAAUAAAGGUGAGAAACUAGCAAGUAGACUUCUUUUAACUUUCAAGUUUCCCUUGAUCAGCUGAAAAUAAAAACACCCUAUCCAGGAAGUGUAAACUGAUUCUACUCAGAAAGCUGUUAGAUUCCCCUAUAUCUGCGAAGUUCCAAUGCAUAUUGAUAUAUCCUCCCUCUCAAGUCUUCAAAUCAACUAUCCCAAGAAAUGCAACAGAUUUAAACUGUAUCCAAAGAACUUAUAGAGAGUAUUUUCUAGUCCAACUUUCUUAGCUUCUGCUAAGUAAAUUGGGAGCUAAAACACAUUGAUAACCCUAAAGAGCCUAAAAGAAAAGUAAGAACCCAGAUAACGCCAUUCAAGCAAGAAUUUGCAAGUUCUCUAACACAUUUUAUUGAUUAAAGGAAACUCAUAUCCGAGACGAAAAAGGAACUUACCUCCUUUCUUUUUUUUUCUUCUCCUUCGUCCCCAAAUGGUGGGGUCCACUCACCAUUGGCCCAUUCACGAUGGAUCCGUAUCCGAGAUUCCUCAAAUUCCAGCUGGUCCCUUGUUCCCCUGAAGAACACAGAGUACUUCCCAUCACUUGACACCUCCAUGACCACACCCUCCCACCACCCAUCAUUGUAAUAAGCAUCCACCUCAUCACUGACCUUGAACUUCCUCCUCCGUUCAGGUGGCGGCCGUGGCCGCAGCUGAACUAAGGUCAUUGCCUCCUUCAAUGGCCGUUUACCUUUUUUAUCCGCCAUCAGUGUUUUGUACUCCACCAAUACCCGCAGCUUAUUGCUACUCUCGUCGUCGUCGUCGUCGUCUUUAUUCGUCCUCUGUUUCUUCUGAAUGGGUCGUACCACUAUUCCCUCAUACCACGAGCCUCGGAAACCGUCCUCAUCACUGCUAAUCUCAACUUCUGCGCCAUUUGAGAAGUAAGUAUUGAGCAUUUCAGUUUCAGUUUCCAUGGCUGCAAGAAGAUGAAAGGAAGAUUCUUGAGUUUUGGCGGUUAUAUGAGAUUUGAAAGAAUUUUAUUAUGGCGGAGAGAAGACUGACAGACAGACGGUGAAGAAGAAUGACAAGUUUUGGCCAGAUUGUUUUGGGGGUUGGUGGCAUAUUUUAACUUUUUUUAAGGGGUCGUUUGGUGCUCGUAUGCAGGGUAUUAGUAAUACAUGAAUUAUUUACAAGGAGAUUUAUAUAUUAUUUAUUAGUUAUUCAUGUACUAUUAUUUAUUGCAUAGAUUUCUACAUAAUUUAUAUAUGUAUUAGUUAUGCGAGUUUUUAAAUGGUAUAAUAUAUAAACAUGACCCUUAACUUGACGUCAGUUGACAACUAUGACCUUUAACUUUGGGUGUACACAAAUAGACACUUAAACUUGUAUAAAAUUGAGCAAAUGGACACAUUCGUCCUACAUGACAAUUUUGUGUCCUACAUGGCGUCUUACAUGUAUUGUGCCAUGUAGGACACUUGUGUCUACUUGUUCAAUUUCAUACAAGUUUAAGUGUUUGUUUGUGCACAUUCAAAGUUGGAGAACAUAGUUAUUCGUUGAAGUCAAGUUAAAUGUCAUGUUUAUGUAUUAUGCCCUUUUAAAUUGCAAUCAAACAUUGCAUAACUUACCUCCUAGCUAGUUAUUAAAUGUGGCAUUACUUAUGCAUCAUUUAAUACUUACAUAAAUCAUCUCCAAAUCAACUACCAAACAAUCCCUUAUAAUUUUGAAAUAGGGUUAAUUUUCCAAAAUCGUCUUUUUACCUUCACGGAAAAAAAAAAGAAUAAACAAUGCCUAAGCUAAAUUCUACUCAACCUCACUUAUGAAACUACAUAUUAAUAUUGCACUUUUUGAAAUAGCAUUAUUGCAAACAUAUGAUAGAUAGUCCUUUAAACAUGUCCUCUUUUUUUUCCUUCCAUUUUAACACUUAAUUCUAGGAGUUUAAUCUAUUAAACACCAUUUUAAGUUUGACUUUGUAGCCAAAUUAUUUUUACAUCCCUUAUGUAUUUGGUACUUUUACAUCAUAAUCUUUCUCUAAAUAUGUUAUGCACAUUUCUUCUGUUUUAAAUUAUUUUUCCACUAAUAAUACAUAUAAAAAAUUAAUUGUAUCGUCACAUGUUUCAUUCACUUUUUUUAAAAAUAAUUAAAAUAUAGUUGUACCCUAAAUGUCAAAUUAUCCUAUGUAUUUUUCUCAAUCGUUAAGUUAGAGACCAUGGAUAAAAGCAAUAAUCAUCGCUCUUAACCUUUAUACAAUUUUUAAUUCAUAACGAUUUCUCUUUAACAACUCUAGCAUAAAGAGUCGAAUAGAGAAGGACAGCAUUAAAAAAAAAGUUAACAUUUGAAAUCAAUGUGCAUAAAAAUAAAAUAACUCAAUAACCGAAGCAAUUAAAACGUUGUUGAUUAGGUGAAUUGCGAAGAUGGAAGUGGUAGGAUAAGAAAGCUUUCUAACCUUGUUGGGAGCGUUAUCCUUGAGUGGGUUCUGUAAUAUGCGAUUUGAAAAUCUAAUCGGCGCUUCAAUACAAACUCCAAACACCAAAUAGGAAAUCAAAAAAAAUGUUCUCUAACCUUGUGCUAAAGGGUCCCUAAGUUUUAUUUAUUUAUAUUUAAUGAAGCUUUGAAUCUAAAUUAUUUAAAUAUUAAUUUAUUUAGUGCAUUUGCUUUUCUUCUCUUCUUUCACAAUUAAUUCCCAAUUUUUAAUAGGUUUAAAUUAUUCAAAUUUUAUAUACAGUCUUAAUAUCAUUAAAAUAUUUGUUGGAGAUUGAUAUUUUGUCGUGUUUUUGUAAAAUACGAGGGAGUGGAAACGAUGAGUGGCUAGUAGUAAUUUGUUACUUCCGUCUAUUUUUAAUUGUUAUAUUACACUUUUUAAAAGUCAAUUUAAUUAAUUUUUAAAGUUAAAUUAGAUUAUAAUAAUUUGAUAUUUUAAAUAAAAAAUUAAGAUAUUCAAAAACUAUACAAAAAGUACUAUAAAUUAUAGUAAUAUUUUGCAUAUCAAUAUGAUGAAAAAAUACAUCAUAAAAUGUUAGUCAAAGUUUUACCGUUUGACACUAAAAAAGAAAUCAUGACAAUUAAAAGUGGACGAAUGUGGUAGUAAAUAGUCACUUCACCCGUCCCAAUUUACGUAGUAUCUUUAAAAUUUUGAGAUUCAAAUAAGUCUAUUUUUUAUCGUAAUUUUGAGAAUUAUCAAUUAUUAUGACUUAUACUACUUUCUCCUACUUUUUACGUAAUUUUUAAAAAUAUGUUAAUACUUCAAAAAAUUUAUCUCUAAAUACACUAUAAAACUUAAAUUAUAUGACUUUCGAAAUUCGAAUUAGUAUUAUUUUAGUAAGUAAUUUGUUUCAAGCAUAAGAGAAAUUGAAGGGACUGACCGAAAACUGAUGCUAGUGAAUUUAAUUUAAAUAGAUCCCCCUGUUCUCGCAUAAUAUCAAAACAAGAAAGGCGCGAAAAACAAACUGGAAAAACCCAAAUAGAAAUCUCCGAUCCUCGGAACUCAAUGCUCCGGCGACAUCUCCGGUCACCUCAAUUUUCCACCAUUUUUUUUAUAAUCCAUAGCUCUUUUCAUUACUUUAACAAACAAGGACAUAGCUAUAUGAAUUUGACAAAGGUAUGUGCCUUUUCACCCUUCAAGUCAAAUUUUGUUCAAAGACUCACCUCAAAAAUAACCAUAAACCUCUCAAUCUUGGAGGUUCUUCUGCUAAAAUGCCAAAAUUCUAAGCAUUUUGGGCAAAUUCUUUCACAAAUGAUCUCCACUGGGUUCAUCAGAGAUACAUAUGCUGCAAGCAGGAUUCUCAAGUUUUCCACUGACUCACUUUUCAUUCACGUUAAUUACUCUCAUAAAAUCUUCGAUUACAUAGAUAAUCCAAAUGGGUUUAUUUGUAAUACCAUGAUGAGAGCUUAUUUACAGCGAAACCAGCCUCAAAAUACAAUCUUUUUGUAUAAAUCAAUGUUGAAAAAUAAUGUAUGUAUUGAUAAUUAUACGUUUCCGCUUCUGGUUCAAGCUAGCACAGUUAGAUUGUCCGAAGCCGAAGGAAAAGAGUUUCAUAAUCAUGUUAUUCAAACGGGAUUUGGUUCGGAUGUUUAUGUUAAGAACACUUUGAUUAACAUGUAUGCUGUCUGUAGAAACUUGAUUGAUGCAAGGAAGAUGUUUGAUGAAAGUCCUGUUCUGGACUCGGUUUCGUGGAAUUCGAUACUGGCAGGUUAUGUUCAAGUUGGAAAUGUUGAUGAGGCAAAAGUAAUUUUUGAUAAGAUGCCUAUGAAGAAUGUUAUUGCAUCCAAUUCUAUGAUUGUAUUGUUGGGUAGGUCUGGUAGGAUGAGUGAGGCUUGUCAAUUAUUCGAUGAAAUGAUGGAAAAAGAUGUGGUUUCUUGGACUGCUUUAAUUUCUUGCUAUGAGCAACAUGGGAUGUACACACAAGCGUUGGAUUUGUUUAUGCAAAUGUGUUCUAAUGGAAUUUCCAUAGAUGAGGUUGUUGCGGUAAGUGUGCUGUCUGCAUGUGCACACUUGUUGGUUGUUCAAACUGGUGAAUCAGUACAUGGAUUGGUUAUAAGAGUUGGUUUUGAAUCAUAUGUCAACCUUCAAAAUGCUUUAAUCCAUAUGUACUCUACCUGUGCAGAUGUAAUGGCUGCACAAAGAUUGUUUGAUACGAGUAGUCAUCUGGACCAGAUAUCGUGGAACUCAAUGAUCUCUGGCUACUUGAAAUGUGACUCUCUGGAGCAGGCUAGAGAAUUAUUUGAUUCCAUGACUGAGAAGGAUGUUGUGUCAUGGACUACAAUGAUUUCUGGUUAUGCGCAACAUGAUCAUUUCUCAGAGACUUUAGCACUGUUUCAGGAGAUGCUGCAUGAGGACAAUAAGCCUGAUGAAACUACUUUGGUCAGUGUUCUUUCGGCUUGCACCCACUUGUCUGCCCUUGAUCAAGGAAAAUGGAUUCACGCUUACAUACGAAAGAAUGGGCUCAAAGUGAAUAGCAUUCUUGGCACAACUCUUCUUGACAUGUACAUGAAAUGUGGUUGUGUGGAGAAUGCAUUGGAAGUCUUCAAUGGAAUGGAAGAAAAAGGGGUGUCUUCUUGGAAUGCUUUAAUUCUUGGGUUGGCCAUGAAUGGGCAGGUGGAAAGAUCACUAGACAUGUUUCAGAAGAUGAAGGAAUGUGGUGUAACCCCUAAUGAGGUUACUUUUGUCGCAGUUCUUGGUGCCUGUCGACAUAUGGGACUGGUAGAUGAGGGCCGCUCCUACUUUAAUGCUAUGACCAGACAUUACAAUGUUGAACCUAAUAUCAAGCACUAUGGAUGCAUGGUUGAUCUACUUGCUCGUGCAGGGUUGCUCAAAGAAGCUGAGACACUUAUUGACAGUAUGCCUAUAGCUCCUGAUGUUGCCACUUGGGGUGCUCUUCUUGGAGCUUGCAGAAAACAUGGUAAUAGUGAAAUGGGGGAGAGAGUUGGAAGGAAGCUCCUUGAACUUCAGCCAGAUCAUGAUGGAUUUCAUGUGUUACUGUCCAACAUAUAUGCUUCAAAGGGUAAUUGGGAUAGUGUUCUGGAUAUUAGAGUAGCAAUGACGCGGCAGGGGGUUGUUAAAGUUCCUGGCUGCAGUAUGAUUGAAGCAAAUGGUGCUGUUCAUGAAUUCUUGGCAGGAGACAAGUCUCAUUCCCAGAUAAAUGAAAUUGAAGAAAUGUUGGCUGAAAUGGAAAAACGGUUGAAAAUAAUGGGCUAUGCCCCAGACACAGAUGAGGUUUUACUUGAUAUUGAUGAGGAAGAAAAAGAAAGUACCCUGUUUAGACAUAGUGAAAAGCUUGCAAUUGCCUAUGGGCUCAUUGCUAUCGCUCCUCCUACUCCUAUAAGAAUAAUCAAGAACUUACGAAUAUGUAGUGAUUGUCACGCAGCAGCAAAACUAAUAUCAAAAGCUUUUGAUCGGGAAAUUGUGGUGAGGGAUCGGCAUCGGUUUCAUCAUUUUAAGGAUGGCUCUUGUUCCUGCAUGGAAUUUUGGUAGCUAAUACCCUGUUAUUGGCCCUUAAAGAACUAUUAUGAAGGUUGUUCAACUUGAAUGCCUCAAUCUUCAACAUUAACAGGCCAAUGGCCUCCAUUCAUGAAUGACCUGUGCAUAGGCUCCAACAAGGCUAUCAUCUCCCAUAUGGCCAAACCUGCAUGAUAAUUCAAUCUUCAUUUUGUUGACACUGACCUUGGAUAUGGAUCUUAAGGCAAGGGUUCUGAUGCUUACACUGUCUUUCACUCCUUGAGUUCCCAUUUUCUUACCAGAUCUCCACAUAUUUCAGAUUGUGCCAUCUGAUUAUCUUAAUUAAUUAGAUUCUGGACUGUAACAUAAAAGGAGCUCAUUGUCAAAAUUGAAAUUUUUGGUCACUUACUCUUCUAGGACCCAAGUAUUUGUAUAAUCUUGCGAUGUUACUGCAAUGUGACAUAGUAAUAUCAGUAUAUCACCUUGCAGUGACUGGAAUAAGUCUUAAGUAUCUAAUAAUGCACUUGAAUAGUUGAAUUAGAGUUGGGGGCCGCCACCUAAAGUGCAGUGGAAGCUUGUGUGAUUUCUCUAUAAGCAGCUUAUUUAUGUAUUAAUCAAAGCAUUUACCCCAUUCUUGAAGAUUUGAAGCUGAACAGGUGAAUAUAGGUUGUCACUUGUCAGUAAUAGAAGAAGAAUUGACCUGUUUCAUUGUUAUGUUUUCCAGGUAUCUUUACAGUCGAUGGACAAGGAGUUGUAGAUUUGAUUUCCUUGAACUGAAUAGGAGAGAUAACCAUGGACUGUUGAUUUUUUAGCAUACAGAAUAAGGGUGCAUUUCUAUGUUAAUUUUGCAGUGUGUUGAAGAAUUUCAGUAGUAGUUAAUGAACAAGUUUAUGCAUACAUGGUGGAAGCAAAUGCGUUGGGGCUACCAGUGGAAUUAUACUGCCAAAUAUACAAGCAAUACUCUUGUAAAACUGGCAUGUAACAUGACAUUCUUAUUUCUCAAAAUCAUGACUUGUUCUGUAGAUAAGAUAGAGAAUGUGAUACAAAGCAGCAAAGAAGGUUUCCAUGACCUUGAGCCUGUAAUGUUUGUAUUUUGCUCCCUUUCUAGUUGUAUGAUGUAUUUUAUCAACUGGAAAAAUGAAGUUAAAAUUUUACAUCUCUGCCUGCUUACUAGCAAACUAUCCGUUGGGGGCAAAACUCUCAACCUUGAACAUUAGCAUAGAUCAUCUGUUCUGUUUUGUUGGUUCACCACAACCUAUGAUUUUACACAAAUGUCACCUAUGCACCAAUCUGGGUGUUGAUCAAUGAUGCUUCAUAACAAUGUUGACUGGUGCAUGUCGUGAAUGAUGCUCCAGCUUUUCCCUAGACAAUGAGCUAUUGCAACUGACUGGAUCAGAAACAGUAGCAAUUCCACAAUAGCCUCCGGACAAGAAUUACGGAACAAUCCGAAACCACUUUGACGUACAAGUAGAAUGUGUUUCACCACCUAAAGAAUGGUCAUACUCAAUAUACGGAUCUGAGACUUAGCAAUAUCACUUGAGCAAUUUUAUCUCCCAGAAUAGCAAAGACAGCAGAUACAAAUCUCUAAAUGAUCAUAUUAUUCCUCAAAUAAUAACAAUGUACUGAUGUUGGAUCUUCCAAAACAUUUUACAAGUCAAAAGAUACACUGAAGUCCAUGUAUCAUAUCUGCUGGUCCAUGUUUGGCACCGAGCUGUUUUUGUUUCCAGACAUGGUAAUGACUAACGAACACAAGCGAAUUACAAGAAGAUCAUAGAGUUGUUCAAUCUUCCCAUAAUAACAAUGUCCCCUAGCUGGAUCUUCCAGGAGCAUUUUAGAAUUCAGAAAAUUCCCUAGACUGAAGGUUCAGAAUAAUCAAGAGAUUGCUUUCCAUGAAAUUCAAAUGUACUGUGUCAUGGCAAAGAAUGAUUUUACUUGGUUACAUAACCCACUAGUUCCUUUUCUGACAGUAUCAACUAUUGACUAAAACUGAUUGAUUAUCCACCCUCAACUUUCUUCAAAAAAUCCCCUCUUGUAUAGAAUGCAACGUGACUUCUGAAGAAAAUGAAUCACCAUGCCAACAUAUAUAACAGCAAACACUUUGUACCUCAUUGCUGUUACUUUUCAAGUUCCAUCUUCUAAGUUAUGUAUAAAGAAGUCCAAAUCAGGAAUAUAUCGUGUGUCUCUCAUAUGUUCGACCAGGAUUUUUACAACUUCAUCAACACAAUCCAUAUGUGAACCCAUUUUAUCUCCAGCAACAAAACUAUAGUUCUGAUUCUUUAUCUCUACUGAACUUCUCCCUGCCUCUUUCUUGGUAGCCAUCCUUCUCAUCAACUUCCUCAUUUUUGCAGAGUCACCCCAUUUACCGUCAGCUGCAUAGAUAUUUGACAGAAUUACAUAAGUUGCUGCAAUUUUCGGCUUCAAUGCCAACACCUUUCUUAUGGCCAGCGUGCCCAAAUCUGGAUGAUUGUGUGUUUUACAUGCUCCUAUGAGUGUUCCCCAAACAGAUUCAUCGGGAUCAAAUGGCAUACUCUCUAUCAACUUAAAAGCCUCCUCAACUCUUCCAGCGCGUCCUAGCAAAUCUACUAAACACCCAAAAAUCUCCGGAUCUGGAGCUAUGUUGUAAUCACCAACCAUUGACAUAAAAUACCUUACACCUUUAUCUACAAGCCCAGCAUGACUACAUGCAUUUAAAACUGCCACAAAUGCUAUCCUAUCUGGCCUGACUCUAAAUUUAACCAUCUCUUCAAAAAAGUUGACAGCUUCAUUUCCAUAUCCAUGGCUUCCAUAACCAAUCAUCAUUGAGGUCCACGAAACCAGAUUUUUCGUGGGCAUUUUAUCAAAAAUUCUACGUGCACUUCCAAUAUUUCCAGACUUUGCGUACAUGUCUAUUAAGGCAUUGUCCAACUCCAAGUUCCCUCCGAGGCCUCUCUUUAUGAUUCUUCCAUGAAUCUGCUCUCCACAACUCAAAAUUGCCAAAUUGGCCACAGCUGCUAUAAUGCUGGAAAAUGUGAAGCAAUUGGGGCUGAGACCUUCAAGCUCCAUAUGCGAGUAUGUGCUGAUAGAUUCAUAUGGAUCAGACUUCUCAUAUCCAGCAAUCAAAGUGUUCCAGGUGAUUGAAUCCCUUUGAGUCAUUUCAUGGAAGCAUUGCUUUGCAUCAUUUAAGCUGUUACACCUACAAUACAUAUCUAAAAUAGAAUUCAUUACAGGUAGAUUAAAGUCCAAUCCAUGCUUGGUGAUUGCAGCAUGAAGUUGCUUCCCAUAUGUACAUGAGUGGACCGAGGCACAAGCUCUGACUGCUAUUGAAAAGCUAAAUGGGUUUGAUUCACCCUCUUCCUGUCCAUCCAAAAACACACCAAAAAAGCAUGAAAAGUUAGAAUACAAUUUUUUCUAAAACAGGUGAUUUCAAGAAGAUUAAAGUGGCACUAUUUUCUAUAUACAUUAACUGGCCUAUUGCCAGAAAAUAUCUAAAUACAUACCGAUAACAUUCUUCUAAAAACAUUAAGCCCCAUAUAGCCAUCACCACGAUGAGUAUAUCCCGCGAUUAAUGUAGUCCAAGACACAUCAUUUUUCUCUCUAAUCUCCUGAAAAACCGCAGAUGCUUCUUCCAUAUCAACACAACACGUAGCAUAGACAUCCAAGAGUGCAUUCGAAACAUAAAUACUUCCACUCAUGCCUUGCUUCAGAACCAAACCGUGAACCAAAGCUCCAUGAGAGUACGAAUUGAUCCCUUUACAAGCCUUCAACGUACUAGAUAACGUGAACUCAUUGUAGCGCACAUCCGUAUACCUCAUCAUUUCACAGAAAACCAUCCAAGCACGUCCAUGGAGAUUACAUGAAGUGUACCCAGAAAUCAUGGUCGUCCAAGCAACAACAUCUCUUUCAGGCAUUUCAUCGAACAGUGUACGUGCUUCUCUAAUCAGACCCCUUUCAAAAUACGACUUGAGAAGACCAGUUGCUAAUAUAGAAGGAGGCUUGGGUACAAAUGGUGGGUUUGAAUGGGGUGGGUCGAUUGCAGCACAAAGAAGAGAGUUCUUGAUAGUUUGAGGAAUUUGAGUUUGGGAAACUAGCUUUCUUGCAUUCAUUGCUUAAACAUACAUUUAAGAUUAACACAAAUCCAUUUACAGAAAGUAGAAGUCUUCGAUUCAUAAUGUAUAACAGUAUAAAUGUAUAAAAAUGUCCUUCAUUUGUACAAGUCGCAACUGGUAUUCUCUGUGUUCGAAGCUAAAAAAGUGUUCUCCAGUACUUAAUACUUCAAUUAUUCUAAUUAUAAAGGUUAACAAUCAAAAUGAAUAAAAUAAAGAGAAGUUUGCUCAAGUAAUAAGCCUUCUCCAUCUCAAUCUUAAAAUUGUGACUUCAGUGAUCAAAAAAAUAAAAAUGAAUUAGUGGAUGUUUGAGUAAACUAGGAGAAAUUAACAAAUGAAUAUAUUUUAGAGGGCUAGUUAACUUUAGCCCCGCAUUUUAAAACUCUUUCAUGUUUAGUUGUUUUUUAAUAAAAAAAAUACCCCCUAGUUAAAACACGGACUCCAAGAAAUUUUUAUUGGAGUUUUAACUUCAUAAAAAUUUGAACUGAUAAAGGUUUGAAGUCCAUGAAUCAUUCAUGAAGUUUCUCCAUGAACUGCAACAGAUUUUCCCACUUAAAUUGUUAAAGUUUGAACUCAUAAAAGUUUCCAAUAUGUAUUAAAGGUUCCAGCAUAUAAAGAGCUUAAGGAAAAAUGGCAAAAUAUCAAUCAUAAAGAAACAUAAAAACUCACUCCAAUGCAUCUUACACAAAGUAUAAGAAACAAAUACAACAUGCCAAUCAUCGUAGUAUAAUUUAUAUACAGACUAAUUCCUGCCUUAAAUGAACUUGGCUUCAUUUCCUAAGUUGAUGUACUAUUACAAUUGAUUGGCGUAUAAAAACAAUGGUAAUUCCAUAAUGCUGUGUGAAAAACUACGUCUUCUUUUCUUUAUGUCUUGAGGUUGAAAAAACCCUCCAGACAAAAACACUUAUCCUACCUAUUUCCUGUACAUGUAAAAUGAGUUAAAACUCCGAAAGAAUGAUGGUUAUAACUCAUACAAGGAUUUGAGACUUGGCCGCGCCACGUGAGCACUUUUUCCUUCCAGAUUUCUUAAGAGCACAGACACAAAUCUCAAGAAGAUCAUAGUCUUCUUCCCAGAAUAGCAAGGAAGCCGUCUCUGGAUUUUCCAACAGCAUUUUGGAUGUCAGAAAACCAGCUAUUGUCCAUGUUUGGUACAGCCGGGCUUGCUUUCCUGUAAAUUUACCAUACCUGGUAUCAUAAUAUUCAGGCCACUGAUCCACUCGUAGCCUUUUCUCAGCUGAAUCGACUGCUUUUUUAGCCAGGUCAAGCCUAUUCAUCUUGAUGCAUGCCAGCGUGAACUGAACGGAUAGAAAGGGCAACAUCAAAAAAUAGCAAAGGUAGGAGCAAGCUAGCGAUGUUUGUUACAGUAGCUUUAGCUAACAUUACUUUAUCAUCAUAAACAAUAAUUCAGAAACCAACUAACUGAAGAAAACUACGAAACAGACAGUAAUAGGAGAAAGUCAAUGUGUACGGCCUUGUGGCACAUUUCCAAAUCCAUUUAUAAAUAUUCAUUAUAGAUUUCAGUCAUCCUUUAAAAUUCAGCAGCUAUAUCAUCUUAAAUAAAUCAAGAGCAAAAGAGAACGUCUAAUCUGGUUCUUUUUUUUCAUUCAAUAAGUUUAAGUUGCUUCUUCAGUCUGCCGAAUGGGUACAGGUUAUGGAGAAUUUAGUUUUCCAUAAAUUUCUGUGGUUGAAAUUUACUAGGACAAAACUACGAUCACUUUUCAAUUACCUAUUUAUCCAGGACAAUUGCAAUUGUCAUAAAAAGAUAAAACAUUUAUAAGCUUAUCAGGUAACUACUCAGCCUCCUAGCACUCCAAAGACAAUAAAAAUACAGGCAGAGAGAUGAAAUUAUUGCAUUGUAGUUACGGUAUGUAAGGGACAUCAAUCAAAUGAAUUCAGUGGAAUGAACAUAAAAUCAUUACAUGAGUUAGGAAAAUAAAAUCAUUUCAAAUUCUGAUUGAGGGAAGAAAGAGAUAUCAUUAAGAGAAAAUCAUCAAUCAACACGAGAAGAGAAUGCAACCUUACCUGCCAGAGAAGAGUUGGCCAAGAACCCCCAUUAUGAUAUGACCAAGGUCUGCAACAUUCAAUUUGGAAAGAUUAGUAACUUUGACUCCUUAAAUGCCCAAAGAUAACACAUUAUGUAAAUGGGUUUCGCAAUCAUGUAGUAGGAUAGCAUUGUACCCACUUCUAAUAUACCAAAACUAACCCUGCCAAUCCUUAUUACCCUAUUAAAAAGCUGGGACUUUAUUUUGUCUUUUCACUUAAAGUCACAAUUACCCAUCUCCCGCCUUCUGCAGACCCCUUCCUCAAUUAAGGUUUGCGUACAUCCUAACUUCUCCAAACUCCACUUGUGGGAUUACGUUGAGUAUAUUGUUGUAUUUCUCAAGGUCUGAUCUCUCAAAUACCAUGAAUAAAGAGAAAUAUUCAAGAUUAGAAGUUGAUUAGGGAAGAGAAAGGAUACCCAUUUAUAAUACACAAAAAGUUCAUUGUGAAGAAUAAAUUGGAGAAACUGAAGAGGAUGGGCGUAUUUAUGAAUCAUAUGUUCUGUGAUGUUUAAGACUCAAGAAUGUAGUCAGCCACUUAACCAGUCUUGAUCACUUUCAGAAUCUUCAAAUCAAGUUGGAGAAACAGGAAAAAAAAGGGCUUAACCAUAAAUGUACAAUUAACAAGAACAUUUUACUACUCACAAAAAUAUGCUAAGAACACAUCUUCUCACAAAAAAUUUCUUUAGCUUCACUUUAUCCUUUCUUUAAAAAGAAAAUCAUUUCUCAUAUUCUCUUUUCAGGAAGUUACCCAAAUAGAGAGAUUACUCACAAGUUCAGUAUGAAAGAAAAAGGAGUUCCUCUGUUGUCUUGAAGUUGCAUUGCUAUCUUGUAAAAUUUGGAAGACUCAUGGAUGAGAGAGAGAAGAUUAACACAGAAGGAGACGGUAGAUGGAUGGGGAAGAAUAAGCACGUUUAGUUUUUUUAUCGAAAGACCAAAAGGCCCUGAUAAUUGUUGUGUUCUUAAAUGACUAUUGAGGGUAGUUGAAUUAAAAGGGGGUACAAUGCUAAUCUGCUACCCUCAGUAGGUUAGCAAGACCCUACACACACAUUUAUAUAAAUAUAUGUAUGUAUAGAGAGAGAGAGCUCACGUGUUCUUGGGGUCGCUACCAGUGAUUAUACGCCAAUCUUCAGACUCCAGAGCUGGGUAACAUAUCUUAAGGGGCAUAAGACCCACAAGAUCGUACCACUUUGCUUCAAUCAGAUUCAGGAUAGCCUCAUUCUGUUUUGGGGUACUCAAAGAUGACACAAUGGACCACAGAUUUCCAAGUGUGAAGAAUCUAAAGUCCAUGUGGGCAGGUUGUAAAUUGCCAAUAAGAUAACCACCUUCCUCAGGAAUCCAGUCCAUCAACCAAUGAGGGAUUUGUUCAGGGUAGAUGUUGAAUUUGUUAGUGGCUUCAGUGGAAUACUCCUCUGUCUUAUAUCGAUAUAUUUCAUUGAUCUUUUUCAUAUCGACCCAAUAAUAUUCUCUAAUGUGAAAUGACAAUGCACUAAGUCUGUUGUUUAUGGCAUUCACCAAAUUCUUGGAUCCUUCAUCCAAAGAAAGCAGCUCACGGGAGCACCUAAGUGCUGAGUAAAAUAAUGCCUGCAACAUCAAACAAUCUCAGAAAAGAUCAAAGGGAGAAUCAUAGAAGGAAAACAAUGAUAGCACUUCAGAUCACUCCCUGAAUAUGUGCAACACAGAAAUAUUGAAUAAAUUAUUAACACUAUUGCUUUUUAUUUGGUAAGCCACUCCUCUAAACACCUAACCUCAGUACUGGAGGUGGAAGGAUCCUUCCGACUAGCUAUCCAACAUUUGUCAACAUAGAAUAAAAAUAUUAAGCUUAUGCCACCCUCUCCUACAGUGUGAAGUUAAGGAAAGAUCAAGUUCCAAAGUUCAUACAGUUCAGCUAUUGCCAAAUUCUGGUUCACUGUAAUAUCCUAGCAAAAGGGGCUUCUAUCAAAUAAGUAUACACCAAUGUCAGCAUACCAGGUCAAGGAAAGACUCACAAGAUGAACUUGAAAAAUAUAUUAAACUCAAAAAGAGGAACCGGUUACGCCACUUGAACAUUCAAAGGAUAAUUGGCAGUAUCAACUUACUUGAAUCUCAAGUGGAUGUCCAUGAAUACCCAUCCGCCUAUCUAUCAUGCAGGAACCAUCAGUGACUAGCAAAGAAGGAAACAUAUCAAACCCAUCAGAUAAACACAGGUUUAUUAUCAGCUUUAUGCCAGUCUGUACAUCCACUCUUUCUUGUAAUCCAUAGUCACCGGUGAUCUUCCCAUAAGCUCUCAACAAGAUAAUCCACCACAAACCUGAAAAAGUCACAAUUUCAGAUCUUUCAAUAUUUAUUUAACGGGUGGAGCUAAAGUAACAAACUUUUGUGAUGAUUCUUUUCUUGACCAAUUUUCUUUCCUUACCUUCUUCUGAUAUUAUUGAGUUAUUUAUUUUUCUAGAGGACAUCCUAAAAAGAAAUAAAUAAUAAACUAUAACUGCGAACUACCUCUUCACUAGUGAUAAACACUUAUGGAGACUAGAAUCAAUUAACCUAGAUACUCGCUUCUUACAUUUUUUUAAAAAGGUAAGUAUUAAUACUCUCUUCUUACAUUCAACAACCAAUUUUCUAGUUUGGUCCAGUCCACAUUGGCAUCCACUUACCAUUUUUAUAAAGGUGUACAAAUGUAACAGUAUAUUGCUCUCAAGGAAAAGUUCUAAUGUAAUUUAUACAAUAAGUGAUAACCUGAGAAAAGUUCUCCUCUUUCUAAGACAACUUUUUCUUAACUGAUCAAGUAACUAAUAGUUCCCAAAUGUUCAAUCAUUAGUUAAUAAACAAUAAGUUUGGAUUCUCCUGUGAAUGACCAGACAUUAUGGGACUUAAUAUAAAAUGAAGGGAAUGAAAAGUAAACACACACCUGAGUCAACAGGUGCUACACGGCCAAUAGCUGACUCCCCAAAAUCUGGGUCUAGAACUUCUUCGUAUUUGUUAUCAUCGAGAGGCACUGUUCUGACUUUAAAACUUGCAGGCAUCAAUCCUUGCCCUGGACUGUAACAGUCCACAGUUUUCUCCCAACUCUAAAUUACAGAAACCAACAGUAGUCAAUUCAUUUACCGUAAAUCAAUAACCCAAACCAAUAUCUACUCAAACACAGAAAAAAUGAGAAGGAAAAACAUGUGUCCAACCAACAACAAAAAAAGUUUUUAUCCCAAUCAUUGGUUUUUGACUAAAUCUGAAGAUGCAUCAAUGGAAGAUCUAAACAAUGAAAUAUAUGUAGCUAAUUAUGCGAUCACAUAACAACAAUACUAUAAUAGCUGAUGCUAUUAGUGCUACCAGAUGAAGGAUAUAUGGUUGAAUUUACAAGAUAAUCAUGAAACUCCUUUUUAAAAGAUCGAUUCUCCAGUCUCCACCAAAUAAGGAUUCAAAGAAGAAUCUCAGAGAAGCAAAUCAUAUACAGUCCUGAUCUCACACUUACCUCGAGUAUUUAGGAAAAACCAAAAAUUUCAGCCAGGUCCCCGACCCCUCUCUCCAAAAAACAGAAAGCAUUAUCAAUUCUAAGUCCUACUGGUACAUGUGAGACCUUUUCUGUGUUUUACUGUCGAAAGUGGGCAAAGGCGAGAUAAACAAUACUAAUAAUUAUGUGAAUCUAAAGCUACCACAACAGCAUAUCCAAUUGGUAGAAGCAGAACAUUUAAUACCACAAGCAAGUAAUUUUUCAAAGCAAAAGACUACCUGCAAUUGGAGAGUGUGAAGUAGGAAGUUUCUAACAAUCUCUUUCUCCCCCUUGAGUAAAAAAGCGAGGGCGGAUGGAAUAAAAUCCCUAAUAAAUACUUGAUCAUAAUUCAAUGGCAAUUUAUCAUUAGGAUCAUUAGCAGCAAGAGUCCCUAUAGGGCUCCCACAAUAUGUAACAACAGCAUUCUCCAACAACCUCCAUGCUUCCUUCACCGUCUGUGACUCCUCACCCUCUUUCACGCUCUCAACUUUCUCAUGUUGACCAGUUGCAGCAUGUUCAUCUAAAUCAGCAUUUUCCAACCCCAAUGGCUUCUUCGCAUUCAAACCUCCUUGAACAUAAAUCCUUUCAAAAUUCUUGUCAUUAUUAACACGGGUUUUCUCAACCGAAGUUGAAUGAUUCCUAAAGUCAGAUGCAACACUAGCAAUAACAUGGAAACCUCUCUUUGAGGCCCCAAUCGGGUUAAUACCAUUACAAUUUCUUGAAAAAACCCUAGAUUGACCACAAGAUGAAUUUCGCACAACACAAAACAGCUUCUGGGUCCGAUUGAUAAUCCUUCCAUUGCCCAAAAUACGAGAUGGGUAGCUAUGAAAAUCACAUUUUUGCCUGAAAUUCGACAUAUUAUGGGUCUUCUUGAAUGGAAGACCCAGAAAAGAAUUGCUCCUACAUGGGAUUAAAAUUCGACAACAAGGCGUCAUAGUUAUCAAAUUGAUUGAUUUCAUACUGAAAAUUAUCUAAAAUUUGGCAAAUAAAAGGUUUGCAAGAACGUAGUUAAAAAGUUUGUUGAUGAUGUAAUAAUGGAUUGUUUGUGAUGAACAAUAUUUGAAUCAGCAAACAUAUAGAGGGAAAGAGAAAAUCUUGGGAUAAGAUUCAAUUUUGGGGAAGAAAAAAAAUAUGAUUCGUGGAAAGUUUGAAGAUCUUUGGAAAGUGGGAAUGGCUAUUUCAGAUGUACAAGGUUAUUUAUAGCCGCCAGCCUUGUGAUGGAAGAAAUUCAUUUUUCUUUUUUUCUAUUUCGACCACUAGAAAUACGAUUUUAGAAAAAGGAAACAAAUAAAACCAAAAAAAAGGAUGAAAAAGUUUCUUGUCACUAUUGCUAGUUUUGGAAAAGAAAGGCAGUAGGACAAUUUUCAAUUUUUUUUUAGAAAUGUCAAACUAGGAAUGAAGAUACUUGGGAUAAAGUGGAGUGAUCUGACAAGAUGAGGAUAGUGAAGUUGAGAUAUUUUGGGGCAUAUAAAGAUGGGAAGCAUAGAUGUCUCAGUGAAAAGGUGUGAGAAGUUGGCAAUGAUGGGUGUUCAUAGAAGUAGGCUGAAAAAGUGUCGGGGGAGAUGAAUAGAGAGGACGAGGUGCAUCUUGAGUUGGAUAUAACCUUAAAUAAAAAGAUUUAGAGAUCGUGAAUUGGAGUAGAAAUUGAUAAUUAUAUGUUCUCUCAUUUUCCUGCGGGAUAUGAUAGGGGUGAUCAUAUUGGUAACUACUCUCUUACAAAUAGUAUUUAUAGGUACUAUUCUCGUAGUUUCUUUUUCGUUGAUUGUUGUUAACAUCUAUUUAUGUUUUAUUUAUCACACUAGUUGGUUGUUGUUAUUGUUCUUUUUAUGUAUGUUAUGUAUGCUUUAAAUAGCCUUACAUUUCAUUAUUAAUUGUUACCGCUUUCAUUUUGAUUUUUUUUCAAACUUUGAGAUACUUCACUAAAGCUAAAAGUCUGUCGCAAAUAAUCUUUUCGUCUUUACAAUUUACAAGGUAGAAAUAAAAUCUAUGCACAUUAUAAUCCUUAUAAAAUUAUAUUGCAUAUGUUCAAUUUUUGAAAUUCAAAAUACUUCAAAGUAGUUGAUUACUCUAAAUCACUCACAAAUUUAAAAUCAAUUCCAUUUUGUAUUCAUAUACAAGCACAAAUUCAAUUUUCAAAUAUCAUUUUUAAUUUAAAAAUAAAUAUAUUUUUUUCCAAAUUUCAUUUCUUUCUUUUUUUUUUCUUCACUUAAUUAAUAAAGAUACAUGACGGACUACUUAAUUAGCAGGGAGCGUUCCCUUUAAUAAGUCUUGCAUGAUUGAAUUUGGAUUAGUUAAUCCGUUAGUAAAGACACAUGCUUCUACAAUUAAUUGCUCAUAAUUUGUUAAUACAUUUGGAAAUUUUAUACCUUACAAUUUACAGUUAACAAAUUAACCAACUCGACAUUUAAAAAAAAACCCGUUAUUUCAUCUUCGAAAAGUAAAGUAAAAGUGCUCAAUUUAAAGAAGAAAUACUAUAAAAGAAAAUGUUCACGACACGACACGAAACCAAACCAAAUAAUAAAGUUUAUUUUCUUGUUUUAUACUUGUAUAGUUAUAUGCAUUUGUCAGCUCCGAAAAGAAAAGCAAAGAUAAAACGUAAUGACCUGCCCAUGGAAUUUUCCACUUUGCACAAACUGUCAAUUUUAGAAGCCAAAUUGCAAAAUUGUAUAACUUGUCACAAUUUGUACCAGUAUAUUUGGAGAUUCGUCAUUUGAGAUAAGAAUAGGUGGUGACGUGUAAAUAAGUAAUUUUCGAUCCAUUUUUUUUUCAUUUCAUAGAGAAAUACAGUCAAACGUGUGGGAAAUAUGGUCCCUUCCUAGAAAUGACUUGUAGAACAAAAGCAACGUACGUAGGGAAUAAACAAAUUCAAGAAAAAUAGACAAGUGCUGACCCACUAAUUUAAUUAUAGAGUUGUUAUCCACAAAGGAUAUGGUAUGGCCCUUACAGCAAUUCAAUUCAUGUCCACUCAUAAUUUGCAACAAUGACAAAAAUGUGUAAAAGAUGGAUGAGUUUUUGUAUGAUGAUAAUUAGUACUUAAAUCCAUUUAUAAUCAUAGCUAAAAAGUUCAAUUUCCAAAAACUGAAUUAUGACCUGACUUCAUAUUGCCCAGACCUGGUUAGAGCUCGAAAUCCUUUAUAAGGUCGUGUAGGUAGAUUCUUGAAAUCAAGUUUUUCUAUCUUCAAACCUGAGAGUGCAACACCCAUAAUUUUGAAUCCCACAAGAAAUGUAGGGAAUACAUGAAGCCGCUCAACUCCUGUUUCCAACACUAAUGUUCCAGUCAUUGAAGGAGUUUUGUCUUUCGGCAUCCGACCAAUGGACCAACUGCAUGUCUGCACUAAUAAAUCAACAUGUCAAGAAAAGUUUGCAGAUUAAAGCCUCCUCUAUCACAUAAUUCCAAAUUGGAACCACACUGAAAAAGAUUUUACUUAAAAAAUAGUUUGACAUCCAUUUAGAAGUUUCUGUCAUUUUACGGUAGGGAUAGAACUGACUAGAGUAGAAAGUAUCUUCAUUCAUUGACUUCUGAUUCACUGCCAGACACGCAUUAAGAGAAGGCACAAAGGAAGCAACUCUGUAGAUAAGAGGAAGUACUACGUACCUUGUUGGAAAGGAUGUUUACUGUUCCAUAAUUUGAUGUAAGAUCUGCAGAUAAAACACGAGGGGGUAGUUGAAAUUGAACAUUUAUAUCAUCAAUUGUCUUCCCAGGAUCAUUGCGUAUCCCAACUAACAAGCUAAUACGACAUGUCCCUGAGUCUGAAGUAAUUUGUGGCUUUACAUAUAUAGGGGUGCUCUUCAACUUCUUUAUUCUGCAUGGCAUAGUUUAGACUUUAGAGAGGGAGAAAAAAAGUUUAGACAAGAUGAACGCAGCAAAGAAGCGAAUUCUCUAAUGCACUCCUACAGUGAACGCACGUGCUUGGUUUACAAUUUGCCAUUUCCUGUUUUUCAUGUUUGGUGGAUGCACAUUGUAGUUUCAAAAUCCGUACAUAACCCCAUCAACAAUGGACCAACUGCCACUACUUGUGAAUAUAUCUCAUUAAAUAGUGGUUAUCGGAAAAAGACAUGCCUUUCCUUCUGAAAAUACAGUGCAUUUAUAAAUAGUUCAGGUUUCGUUAUGCAUUUAUUGACAGUUCAACUUUUGUUAUUGGAAGGAGCAAGUUAGCAGCAUGAAAUUUAGUCGGAGUUUCAAUAUUGAUAAAUAUUUUCAUUUCCUCAAAAAGGUAACUUUUUGCUGGGUUUCACCCUCCUUACCAAGCAAGGAAGGGGUUAAUUUUAUGGGUUCCAGUAUCAGAGGGAAUAAAGAGAAGAUAACGCUAUGAUGUAAUGUAAACAAAAGACUAGAGUACUUUUUACAUAAAGUCAAAACCAUCAAAUUUUGAUCAUGAGUAAAGGCAACUGCAAUAGUUAACACCACAAACCUGUAGCUCAUGAGCUUGAAUUGUCCAUCAGGAGGAACAAAAGACAGAAUUUGGUUUGAUUCCCAUGGUCGUAGCCGAACACAAGGAUGGAAUCUCACAUCAUUCAAGAUGGAAGUAUUUGCAAAUGAAAGGGUAAGAUCAGGAAGUCCGGAAAGAUGAGAAUUCACUUGAACUUCACCACAGAUCUCACAUUUCACCAGAACCCCAUCUCUGAAAAGCAUAAAACAAUUAGAAUGAGAAGCCUUUAGGUAAUUGGCUAUUCCUGUAAACCCUAGUUCAAGCAUAUAACAAUUAAGAAAAAGAUGCUCCAAUGGUCAAGUGUAUUCAAACUUAGAACCCCCAAUGUAGAAAAGCAAUCCAUUAUUCGGCAAUAUCGUAAUCAUCAGUGAAGAAGAAAAUAAAAUCAAUUUGGUCACAGCAAAGAGAAGAAUGUGGCAUGGAAAAAGUCAGGACUUCUGGGCAGAUUCCAGUAUCCGCCUUAGGUGCAGUUUCAUUGCCCAUAAAAGAGAAAAGAAUGUGCCGCAUGUUAAAUUUGUUUGCAAUAUUUGUGUGUUUCAUAUGAAGAGAAGUUUGUUCAGAAAAGCAAUUAAGAAACUCUUAUUUGUCCUGCAAAUAUCACAGAACAUACAAGAAAUGGAUUUCCUUUUCCUUCAUUUUACUUCACGGCAGUCUUCAAGAAGUUCAGUUUCUAGCAACUUUCUUGAAAAUUCAGAGGAAGUCUUGGAAUUCUUUUAUAUAUAUAUAUAUAAUGGUCUAGGGGCUCACUUUUAUAAUCUAACAGAUUGAUAGAAAGGAAAUGCUCAUCGAAACAGUAUAAGAAAUGUCACUUAUAUACAUUAACAAGCACACAUAUACACGUGUAUGCAUACUAUAAUACACUUCAAUUCUCAAGGAUGCUGCCAAAUUCCCCUGAAGAAACCAUUUGCAGUAGUGCACAAAAGCAUGCCUUGUAUGUGCCAUGAAGCAGAUCAUAACUCUAUGGCUCCCGCUGACUCCAUAUCGAAAUAGUUUUAACUCUACGCAUAAUGGAGAAUAGAAUACUAAACUAGUUAAACAUUUACUUUGAUAGAACAAACAUGACAUUAAAGUUAAUUUGAUAGGUUAGAUGAAUUUGAACCCUCAAAAAUGGUAUAAUAUAAUAAUAGAAGAGUGUGGAACAUUUUGAGAUAUUCCCCAGUAGAAAAAUGUCAUAUAAGUUGAAAUAGUGGAAAGAGUUCAUAGGUAACAUAGAAAGAAAAAAGUGUACCUUCAAAAUUAAUGUGCCAGCUUUCACACUAUCCUUUUAAGAUCACACUUUGGUUCUUGAAAUCUUAACCUCUAGAUGUUUUUAUGUGAGAUUUUAACCUCUAGGGUAUACCCGAUAUUGCUUCAAAGUAGCAUAUCAUUAUGUUUACCCUUCACCUUUUGUGAUACAAUGGGUUACAUCAUGUCAAACUAAAAAGUUUGAUGAUAAAUAUAAGAUUUUAAAGAUAUUAAUAGAGAGAUUCUCACAUACUGAGAAAUAAGGAGCUGUAAUGGAGGUUAAGUGAUAGUAAGAUAUAAACCUAUUUAUAGUUGCAUCCAUUUCUUCAACUAAAUCAACAUAAACUUCAUUGCUUGAAUGCUUCAGGUCUGUUUUUCUCCAAGGAACACAAGAUCCUGUUGCACCUGGAAGUGUGUUGCUCAUGUUGGAAGUGUUACCAGUGACAACACUCAAUACUUUGCUUAUGAUAUUUGGAGGAGCUAUCAUUUCCCUUAGUAUAUUAGGUUCUGUAGUAAGAGGGAAACCAUUGUCUAUCAUCUCAUCCAAAAGCUGCACAUCAAACAAAUGUUAAGGCCAUAGUCAAUUUGAAGUCCACCAGAAUCUAAUUAGUGUGUCGAAGGAAAUUUAACAAGACAGUUUGGGAGGAAAAUCUUCCUCAUUCUGUGUCCACAGAAGUUUUAGUUCUCUCUACUUUGGCUGAAGUUCUUAGAAGAAACCUAAACCGGACAGCUGUUUAGAGUUCCGUUCCAUGGCAACUUUUUAUUAAGCUAUUCUUUGAAGUCUUAAGGAACUAGCAGAUAUUUCAAGCUUCAGUAAAUGGAACAUCUCACCGCAGGUAGGGCCAUCAUAGCUCAUAGGGGGAUUUGGAAGGAAAGAAAAGCCAACUUUUUGCAGUGUUCAGCAUGUUAGUGACCUAGUGUAUUUAGCCUAAAGAGAUGAGCGAGCAUUUUAGGAUCUUUACAAGCCAGAAUUUGGCGGGGGGUUUCUAGAGUCACAAGAGUAGAACUACCUCUUUUGUGCAUCAAUAAAUAUCAUGGUAACAGGCUCUACAGUUGCACUGAUAGUUGGUCAACUGGUGAUUUCGGCCAAAAGCAACAAGUUUUGGGGUGGUUAAAACUAAAAAUUAAUACAGAAACGUGUAGUAUAGGUUAACAGACAACAUUUGUGAUUGCACUAUAGCAUGUGAAUAAAAGGGAGUUGAGAAAUUCAACCAAAUCACUCUAUAUAAUCUGACCGUACAUUGUGAUGGAACUGAAAGUACAGCUUGUUUAACAACUCCUUAGUUUGAUGGUUUUUAAAAGCUUCAACUUAGCCUGGUUAGCAUCAUUCCAAACUUCCUAACAAAAUUCCUUUUUUUCUUUUGGGUAAGAAAAGUAUCCCAAGUCCUAACAAAAUAUAUUUUGCACAAACAAUUCCAAAAAAAGAGCUUGAAGAUGUCAAAUACCUCAUAUACAAUCACAAAAUUAUCCUUUAUCAAAUCUUCAUUCAACCCUCCAAGAUAUUCUGACAGGACAUCAGCUACUCUGCACAAGAACUAGAAAUUAAAUGGUCAAAUUAUCAAUAAAGCCCUUAUUUGCAGAGAUGAUACAGAGUUUCAAAGUUAUAAGCAAAGUGCAGUAGCCUCCCUAUGUUCACCUAGCAGCAAAUGACUACAAUAGCUAGAACUAGAACUUUGACAUAUCAAUUCAAUGAAUCAGUUAGCAGUAAAAUCAUAACUGCCAACCCUUCGGGGUGGCCCAGUGGUUUGGGCUUGGGACUUCCAUGUUGGAGGUCUCCCCUUGCCAGCGAAAGCAAGGGGUUUGCCUUCUGGGUCGAGCUCGUCGCAUCGGGCUUGUCUAGUGCGGGUUACCUCUCCUAUGUGGUUUGUGAGCUAUUGCAUAGAAGCGGGGGUUUUACCCUGUGCGCACCCAAAGGGUAGCGGCUGCGGGUUUCCCUUGCCAUAAAAAAAAUAAAAAAAAAUCAUAACUGCCAGGUGCAAGGACUUCCAAUAGUAUGACUGGACUCGUACAGAUCUAAUCCAUUUAACCAAGAAGAAAAGCCCACAAAGCCGACAAAACAUGGCAGAGGAAUGGACGAAAUAACUUAUCAAAAGAAAAACUUAGAAAACGAGAAUCUCUAUGAUGCCAGAUUUUAUCAAAUACAAUGGGCAUACCUACUAUGGCGACAGCAAAUAAACGGUUGUAUUGAACUCUACUACGACAAACACGUCUAACAUACAUUUAUUAAUUGUGGAUGAAGGGGCUCUACCAUAAUUUGUUUGCCUUUCGAUAACCAAUUACUAUAAUAUACUAGUGUAAAUUAGCUUGAGAGUCGCACACUAAAGGGUCCUUCUCUUCUGAUAACCCAAAAAUCCCCUGUGAGUUAGCUGGUCCAAUUCCGGUUAGCUCACAGGUCAAAACUGGGGGAGUAUCUGCCAUACUAUUCUACUUCCACUUACAUACCAUGCUCCUAUUUUUUUGAUGACCGACAUACCGUGCUCAUAUUCAGUGGCUCGGUUCAAACUCACAUCCAAGUUGCAUCCUUCUAACUGAACCAAAGCCCUAGGGCAAAAAAUGCCAUGUUUUUGUCUCAAAUCCUUCAAUAUCCUCUGGACAUACUAAUCAAAUAGAAAACUUUCAGUUCAGAUUGAAAGCAAUUUAACUGUCGCGGUAUGCUAGCAUGUUCAAAUUUUAAACUGAUAAGAAUUACAAGAGGCAUCACCAUUUAGCCAUCCAACCACCAUGCUACUAACCUCUCUUAACAUAUUCUGGUCAGGUGUUUAAUAGUUCCAAGGCAAUUCCAUUAAACCCAUCCUGUGUCAUAAUCUUAUUUAAGAAGAAAUCAAUCCAGCAGCAACAACAUAAAAUAACCAAGUGUAUUACCUCAAUUGCCAUUAAAGGUGGCAUUUCUACUUGGGUGCAAGCCAAGAAGGUAACUCCUUCACGAUUAACUUGGAAAAGGUAAUGCGUUGGUGAAGCAAUCACCGGUAAAUGCUGCAACAAGCCAAAACUUUUUUCAAGAUAAACAGAACAAAAGUUUCAAACUUGGUCAAGCCAAAAAACAAUUAUAUGUAAAUUCAAGAUCAAGGAUCUUGAUUUCUCUAUACAGUGAGUUUUUAGCAACUUUAACUAUAACAUUGGAACAAAUUACUCUUAUGCCCCUACCUUGAAGGAAUCACCUUGAGCAAUUGACUGAUCCCAAAACCAGGAACAUAUUGCCCUAUCAACCCAGUGUCCAGUAAGCUGUUUUUCCAGCAUUACCUCCCUACAGAGACAUUGAAUUACACAGAUCUUUAGUAACAAACUUCAAAUCAAAUACUAAGUCAUUCAAUAUCCCAAUAAAUACAAAUUAAAAGGCAAAGAACCCCUUUUUCGAGUACGAUGAAUAUGAAUUUGACGGAAAUUAAGAAGAAGAAGAAGAAGAAGGAUACCCAGAAUCGGAGAGAAGAAAAAUGCAUUGCAACAUAACGUUGCUUUCUUUACUCUGAAAUGGAGUUGGAACCAAUUCACCCCUCUUCUCUCUCUCUCUCUUCCUGUAUCUAUCAAUUAAAUAAAAAAACUAAAAGGUUUAAUAUGGAAAAAGAAAAAUUACGAAAAUGACAAAAAAGGUCCUUUAUUGUUUGUUAAUAUAUCAAAAUAAUCCCUUAUGUAUCAAUACAAACAGUUUUGAUCCUGUAAGUUUAUCAAAAGUUUGCACUUUAGGGGUCCGAUAUUGGGUGAGAUAAAUCUCGUUCUAAUAUCAUGUUAAAUUAGGUUUAAAAGUUAAUUCAUUCAAAAGUUAGCUCAAAGGGGAGGGUUGCUCAAAUCUUAUUAGGAGUCGAUUCCAUCUCAUUAAGCAUCACAUCAGUGUGAUGUUUUUGACAUUUCUUUAACAAAUCAUAAUUGUAUUUAUAAAACUAUCUAUAUUUUGUCUUAAUUUAAUAGUUAACAUUGUGUGUAUGUUCUACGUAUUAUUUGAUGAAAAUUUUAAAAAUUGUAGAUCCUUCACAAUAUUACGGUAAGCGUUGAGCUAUUAUUGUUAUUGAAUUUUAAAUUCAAAAUGAUGUUAUGCUUGUCAAGGCUUUUUCGCAAUUUAAUUUAUUUUAUCAAAGGUUGAUAUAGAUUAUGAACAUCUAAUCAACGAGUUAUUUACUACUUUUACAUUAUGAUUCUAAAAACGAAGCAAUAGAAAAAGAUGAUGAUAAAAUAUUUUAUUUUUUUAUCAUGAUUAAAACCUUAUUUUAAUUUAUUAAAUUUGAAUUAUCAGUAUUAAAAAAAAAUAUAAUGCAUGAUCACCCGAUCGAAGGAAAAAUGAGAAGAAGCCGAAUUCCUAGCCGAUUAUCAAUAUAUACGCUACUUUUAUGAGUUAUAUCCUUUCAAAAAGAAUAUCAAUUCCAAACGUGUUAUUUCUUUCGACAUGCAGCUGAUCAAUACUAUAUAGGUUGGACACAACUUAUUUGUAUCAUGAGCUCUUUCUCUUUUUCUCAUCGUAAAAAAAAACACUUGUUUUUUCAGUAUAUAAUAUAAAAUAAUUAUUAUUUCUAAUUAUAAUGAGUUUACUAUCAGCUACAUUGUAUAGACUGUUUUCUCUAUAUAUCUUCAACGAACUCGAUAUCGGCUGCGUGCACCGUCUAAUCUAAAUCAACCACUCACGACAAAUUAAAGGAUACAUACAUGGGAUCGGAACUAAGUAGAACAACACAUAACUACAAAACCUUAAUAUAGUUAUUAGUUAAAAAACAAAUUGUAGUAAUACCAUUUAUAUAUAUAUAUUAAUAACAUGUGUCAACGCACAAAGAAAUACACGUAGCGUAGCAUGUGGCACCGCUCUCCGACACGUGUCUGUCUACCAUCACAAUAUUACUAUUUUUUGUUACUCUCUCAACGCUAUCCGUUACAAGUUUAUUGGUCGGUGAAACAUUUCCUUAUGACAGUAUCCCACUGUCCAUGCAACCGCGUUCCAUGCAUGUACUACUACUAUAUAUGUUAGACAAAUUAACAUUCUCAUAGAUAUCAUAAAAAAAUUGUCACAAAAAGAUAUAUAAAAUGGCUCCAGAACUUGAAAGUGGAACAAAAAAGGCAAGUACUACUCAAAAGGAUAUAGAAUUAGGGAGGGCUUAUGUGACUUUCUUAGCAGGUAAUGGUGAUUAUGUGAAAGGUGUGGUUGGUUUAGCAAAGGGAUUGAUAAAAGCUAAAUCUAUGUAUCCUUUGGUUGUGGCAAUUUUGCCUGAUGUGCCUGAGGAACACAGGAUGAUAUUGACGAGGCACGGUUGCAUAGUGAAGGAGAUAGAGCCACUAGCUCCUUCAUUGCAAUCGUCCGAUAAGUAUGCACGAUCUUAUUACGUGCUCAACUACUCCAAACUUCGGAUUUGGCAGGUAAAGUAAAUUAUUAUAAUUGCAAUGAUUGUGGUUUUUUUUUUUAUCAUCGAUGAUUGAUCGUUUUUUGGUAUUAAAUUGCAGUUUGUGGAGUACAGUAAGAUGGUGUACUUGGAUGGUGACAUGCAAGUUUUCGAGAACAUAGACCAUCUUUUCGAGCUGCCUGAUAAGUAUUUAUAUGCGGUGGCGGACUGCAUAUGCGAUAUGUAUGGGGAGCCAUGUGCUGAGGUUCUGCCGUGGCCCAAAGAGAUGGGGCCAAGGCCGUCUGUUUACUUCAACGCAGGCAUGUUUGUCUUUCAGCCAAAUCUCUCCAUCUAUGUUCGUCUCUUGAACACACUCAAAGUUACCCCACCCACCCAAUUUGCUGAGCAGGUAUAUAUAAAUUUGUGUGUAUAUGAAGUUAUGUUUCUAUACGGAUUAAAUCUGGUUAACAAACAAGAUCGGGUAACUUGAAGAACAGAGUAACCAACCUGUUAUAUCUGGUUAUAGUAAACUUAAUACAUCGAAAACAUGAUAGAGUUCAACUUCUAUAAAUUGAUGGUUCAAGAUAUGUUUUUUUUUUUUCAUCACUCUCUCAUGUGCAUCUACUAAUUCAACAGCUAUACAUAGUCCCAACCGUUUCCUUUUUGUAGGACUUUCUGAACAUGUACUUUAAAGACGAGUACAAACCAAUUCCUUACACAUACAAUCUGUUGCUGGCCAUGCUAUGGCGCCACCCAGAGAAAAUUGAGGUGAACAAGGCGAAAGCGGUUCACUACUGUUCUCCAGGGGCUAAGCCGUGGAAAUACACUGGGAAGGAAGAACACAUGGAUCGAGAGGAUAUCAAAAUGCUAGUGACGAAAUGGUGGGACAUUUAUAAUGACACCACACUGGAUCACAAGGCGCAGGGUUCUACAGUUGAAGCAAACAGAUUAAAGGAAGCAGCCUUUUCGGAUUCGAAUAUAAGUGCUCUAUAUAUUACUAGCCCAUCAGCUGCUUAGCUAUAUAUAUGACUGGCAAUGAUCAACUCUUGAUGUUAUUAGUUGUGGAGGGAUACUGCCACUUGUUUAUUUUUUUUGGCAGGUUUAGUUUGGUGGUCCAAUAAGUGAAAGUUUCUGUAUUAUUUGCAACCUAUAUAGUGUGUUUGAAUCUUAGUGAUAAUUAUGUAGUCUGUGAACAGAUGUUGGAACAGCACAAAAUGGAAAUUAUACAUACUCAUGGUGUCUUUCAAUCUUCUUUCCUUGUUGAGUUUAAACUACUGUACCACAGCAGCAGCCAGCUAAUGAGCUUCAACAGUAGAACCAACUAUAGAGAUAAUAGGAUAUUCAGGUAAGAUGAAAUUCACCUCUAGGCCUACCAUAGAAAUAUGGAGCCAUGACAAGUUGGUGAUUGUGCACAAAAAAUGUUAUUUGGGGUGGUUCUCAAAAUUUAUCUUACAAGCCAUUAUCUCGAAACAACAAAGAAAAAUCACAUUCCAGAUGCAUAACCGAACCUGUCAACGAAACUUGCCAAAUUAUAGAUCAGUCAACAACUUAUGGCAUAUGAACUUGAGAAGCUCAUCUCCCUAACAAAGCAACACGAUCUUUCUGAACUGCCUGUGAUAAAUUUAUGUCAAAGAGCUCACACCGAAUUGGCAUUUCCAUUUCAUAGAAAGGGUUCUUCAAGACGUAAUCAGUGUAUAAUUCAUAGAUAUACUUCAAGAGGGACUCCAUAUGCAGAGCUCCAGGCUCACAGACCACAAAGAAUUUUGUUCCUGUUAAGUAAAUCAAUCAAAUCUUUUAGCUGGUUGGAGUGUAACCUGAAUUGACAGCAGUGACUGAGGGAAAAAGAUUAAGAAAUAAGAUGUAAGAUUGAAUAUCAAGUUAAAUGUUCCAUGGCACUCUCAACUCAGAGGCACUAAAACAUUCGACUAGUCUGUCAAAUAUUUACCAAGUGGCUUCCCAUGCAUUAUUGAUUAGUCUUCCAUCAUUUCCGUUGACUUAUUACACAAGUGAACAGCUUCCAUUGUUUCUUAAAAAAUGAGCAAACAGCUGCCAUCUUUACCAAAUAUGUUUUCCUGUUUGCAAAUAUUUCACUUCAUUUCAACUUAGUAUUAUCCAAGGGAAAAACUUAUUUCUCUGAGGUAUGGUUUCAACACAAAAAUACAAGGAGAAUAUCAUCUAUACAAGUUAAGAUAUUAGCUAUGUUGUCUUCUUUGGAUAUUUGUUGUGGACUUGUGGUCUAUCUAGGAAACAUGGAAAGAAUGAGUUCAUGAAGAUGUAGUCUCAUUCUUUUUCUUGAUCUGUCCAACUUCAACAGAUCAUUCUUUGGCCUAUUAGCCUUGAAGCAAACAACUUCAACAAGGCUAUGAAAAUUGAAUCGGCAUCAUGUGCAAGCCACAACUCAUUAUAAAACAGAUCAAGCAGCUUCUUUGAGCCUAAUUAGUCAACACUAUUUUUCAUUAUAGAACGAAUAUUAUUAGCCUAUAACUUAUGGGCUAUCCAAUCAAAAAAGAAGAAUACUAUUAGCCUAUAUUUUUUUCAUCGUUACUAUUAGCCUGUAUUUUGUCUGCCCUUUCACUUGUGAUGCCCAUUGGUCUUGUGUAUGUAGAAAGAACUUUAACAGAUUCAGCAAAUCUCUUAACCAGUAGUAUCAAGAUAGAAACUAGGAGUCAGCAUCCUUUAACAAAGCUCCAGAGGAAAUACAAAUAAUUACCCAAGUUAGAUUCUUAAAUAUCCAUGAGUGUACUUAGAUUUGAAGAACAAUUCAGUAUAAACACUGAUAUACAUAGGAAUAGGCAAUCAUAUAGGGCCACCAUUCAAAUGCACACUGGAACAAAUAAAAGAACACAAAUUCUUUCUGACUAAGUUAUGCCAAAUAUUUGGGGAUCACCACAUGCCUUUAGAAGUUUCUUUUGUACAUGAUGUUUCCUGUAUAUUCAUGGGAGCUGUUUUGUGCAACAAGAGACUGUGUAGAUUCUCUUUAACAAGUCCUUUUAAUGUUUUUGCCAAGUUUAGUUUCAUCUAUCAUUUAAUCUCAAAUGUCUUGAAGUUGCCACACUGGUGCAUAAAAUCUCAAGAAGCUGUUAUGAGAUCCUGAUCGAUUACACUACGAUUGUUAGUGCACAUCACAUCAGUGCCGAGAUGAUCUAACCCUCCAUACCCAGUCUGACAGAAAGGUUUAGAUUCUAAUUAAUUUUCAUCCCCUAGUCUCUUAAACCAUAUUUCUAGCUUUUCUGAAUAGAGAACUGGAAAUUUCUUUGUUGCACGAUUUAAAUUGGAGGGUAAUUAAAAAUAAAAAUAACUGAAAUGGAGAAAAGAUGCAUGAGCCACUUAAAGAUACUGCACCAUAUUUCCUGAGAUCGAAGUCGCAUACAGAACAACUUCAGCAGGAAAUCAUUAUUCAUAUUGAGCUACUUGAUUGAGCCUAAAGUACCAUUUAGGUUACAUUUUCCCCCUUUCCAGCAUAUGGACUAAAUUCUUAUAACUUUUGGGCCAAAGAUUUAAGAUUUAAGUUUGUAACCUUGUUGCUACUGAGUAAGCUUUAGUUCCAUUCAAGCUUAUAGGUAUAAAACAUUUAUAACUACAAUUUACAACAGAACAUACAUGAUAAAAGAUGUCAAAAACUAAAGCUGAUAAAAAUCAUUAAAAAGAAAAAGAUGCUUCUCAAAAAUAAUCAGAUAAAGACAAAAUGGUGGAGAUGUAAGAAUUACCAGUAAGAGAUUGGAAGCAAUGGAGAUCAAAUGUAUCAGCUUGAAGGAGUUCGAUACCAGCACAGCCAUUAACUGGGGACAACUGCUGAGAGAUAGCGUGCAUAGAAUGCCACAGACUAGCCAAUCUCAAACUAUCAUUUGUGUCCAUUUUUCCAGCAGAACCAUAAUCCUAAGGAAUCUUACACACCCAUUAAAACCACAAAUAAGAACAAAAUAAAACGGCCUAAGCUGAAAAGUGUUGGAAUUUGAAUUCACCUUGCAGAAGAUAAGCCCUCCUGAUUUAUUGAUGAUGUAAAGGCUGUAAAUAGCUGCCAUUUAUAUUGAAUCCUUCUCUUUCUUGAUCUGAAUGAAUUCAAUUUACAAUUUUAGUUAUUUUUUGGGAUGUUUGACCAACAUGAAGAAGAAUUGCUUAAAACGCUACCCUCCCUUGAAGAAAUUACGAUAGAUGUAGUCAGGGACUUAUCAGCUUCUCAGCAUCGGUAUCUAGAUAUUCGAUCAGGCGAUCUUUAUAAUACAAGCAGAGUAAUUGAAGGAAAGUAUCUUGAUUUGCUGGCACAAGCAGAACUUGAUCUGAACAAGAAACAAUGGGCAGUUGGAUCUAUUCUGCCUACUAAAUUCGAUCAUAUCUCAACUAGGAACGAUAUAUGUUUGGAGUGGCUUAACAAACAACCUCCAAGCUCAGUUCUUUAUAUAUCUUUUGGAACAACAACAUCAUUUUCCGAUAGAGAAAUCAAGGAGCUCGCAAUGGGAUUAGAAUUAAGCAAACAGAAGUUCAUAUGGGUGUUGAGAGAUGUCAAUAGAGGAGAUAACUUUACUGGGGAAGAUAGAAGAGUAGAGCUGCCAGAAGGGUUUGAGGAGAGAUUAAAAGAUGUAGGCUUAGUGGUAAGAGAAUGGGCACCACAACCAGGAAUCUUGGCUCGUACGUCCACAGGCGGUUCAUGAGUCAUUGUGGAUGGAAUUCUUGUAUAGAGAGUAUUACUAUGGGAGUGCCUAUAGCUGCUUGGCCUAUGCACUCUGACCAACUGAGAAAUGGUUUCUGACGGAAAUGUUGAAAAUAGGCCUGAUUGUGAGGGAGUCAGAGAAAUGCGAGGAGCUAGUAAGUGCAUCCACUAUUGAGAACGUUGUGAGGAAAUUGAUGGCAUCAGAAGAAGGUGAUGUAAUUAGGAGAAGAGCAGAAGAAAUGGGAGAAGCCUUAAGGCGCUCCACAGAGAAAGGGGGUGCUUCUCGAAUAGAGUUGGAAUCUUUCAUCACGUAUAUCACAAGAUAGACUUGUUUUCACCAGAAUUUUCAAGGAUUUUGGCUACUUUUCAUAUUCAUGUAAGUUAACCUGUCACUUAUCUGGAACUUUUAAAUGAGAUGAUUGCUUUGUAUCCCUCUCUUGACAUAUAACUAUCCAGAAUACAGGGUUUUAUCCAUAUGUGCUUUAUUAGACUGUUUUAUCACAAAAGACUUUGUUCAUAGAUUUCUAUGUCCUUCGAAAGGGUUUUUACGAAACAGUUUUGAUACUUGUCCUCUACAACUUCUUAGGAACGCACAUGGUCAAAUUUUUAACCUAUAUGCUUUGAACUUGUGAUAUUACUAGAAUCCUUUUACAUACAUGUUGCAGAAUUGCACCAUUUCUUUGAGGUAGUAUAAUUUCUUAGACAUAUGAAGCAGAGUGUGUUACAAAAUGUCAAAAUCAUAUUGAGGAACCACACUUGAUAAAAUAAGGUACACCAUGCAACAAAAAAAUGUAUGUUUUCUGCUAUUCUGUAAUAAUGGAGCAUUACAAGAUCAUUUAAGAAAGUUUUGGCAUGAACUUGAAUGAACUGAAAACAGAAAUUGCGAACAAGUAUUCAAAGAACUUGAACUAGUCUUGGAGGUGUUAUGUACUUCUUUCUGCACAGUUAACUUAUGAGACUUAUGUUAUGAUUACCAAAUGGUUUCAAAUGCUUAAAUUUCUUGUCUUUCAAUAUAUGAAUUGGUUCGCCUACUGGAUUAGGGUAUAGAUGUCCUCACGACUUAGAUAAAAUGGGUUGUGAUAAAGGUACAUAACCAAAAUUCAAUAAUUAAAAAAUAAUAGUACUAUUAGGGGUCGUUUGGUUGGGAACAAGUUAUCCAGGAUUAUCACUAUGGUAUAAAUGGCAGGAUAAGUUAUCCCACACUUGGCCACCAAACAAAACACCAAAAUUUUCUUGAUCUGAAUGAAUUCAAUUUUCUGAAAAACAUACAAAGUAUUGCACUGUAUACCAAUUUCCCAAAAGAACUACAACAAACCCAGUGAAAACCCAUAAGUGGGGCAUUUCCCAAAAGAAGAAAAAAAAACCUCUCUAGCAAGAGAAGAUUACACUCAUUUUUUCCUGGAUACAAAUAACACAAAAGAAAAAAAACCCAACAAUGACAACAACUACCUACUAUGCCUCUAACCCAAGUUAGUUGGUUUGUUACAAGACUCCUUAAAAGGCAAGAAAGAACAUAUACACAUAAAAAAAAAGAAAAAAAAAAAGGAAAGAAUUGUUACUGAUCUCUGAUUUUAGAGAGUUGAUCUAAGUUAGAUUAAGUACACAAGAUGGGGUGAAAAGAUUUAAACCCUAGUUAGACUGGGAGAGAUGAGACGAGUAAAAAUAAGGGAGAGUAUACCUGAAUUCAGAUGCAAAAUCGGGUAGUCUGUAGGGAAGAAGAAGGGGAAAAAACGAAGAGAGCAAAACAAUUUUGUAGAAAAGAGUUUGGGAAAAGGAUAUUAAUAAAAAUAAAUAAGAAAAAGUUAUUUAUUAAUGUAUAAAAAGUAAUGCGGUGAACGUGGAUCGAACACGUGACCUUCAGAUCUUCAGUCUGACGCUCUCCCAACUGAGCUAUCCCCGCUUUAUGAUAUUUUUAAGGCAACAAAUUAAUUAAAUCAAAACGAGAAUUCUUAGAAAUCGAAUGUUUCUCUUAUUUUAUUUUAUUUUUACUGGACAAUGUUUCUCUUAUUUGGUUAGUAAUUGGGAUGAGUUAUUGGUCAAAAUCAUCCUUAAACUAUAUCCCAGACUUAAAUUAUAUUCUUAAAGUAUCAUUUUUAGCAGAAAAUAUUCUUCAAAUAUUUAAAAAUGAACAAUUUUCAUCCUUCUAUUAGAUAUAUUCAAAAAACUAAGAAAUAAGAGUUGAUAAAAGGUUUGGUUUUGUCAUUUUUUAUAAUUUGCUUUUAAUCAUAAGAGAUUUAAUUUUUAUACCUAAGAAAUUUGAAAUAAAUAUUAAACUUUUUCAAUUUGUAAGCGAUUAUAAGAGAUCAUUUUCACCUUUAGAAGAAGAAAAUUAGAUUUAUUCGAUUACAUUGUUAUUUUCUCACGUAUAUUAUUUUGGUAUAACUUCAAAGAGCAAUGCAAAAAUAAGAAUAAAGGAAGCAAUCCUGAUUUUAUGGAGCUUGUGGGAAGUCAGAAAUAAUUUAUGUUGGAAUAAUAAAUAAAAUGUGUCUGCUAUCACUUUGUACUGUGCGAAGAAAGAACUGGAGGAAUGGAGAAGUGUCAAUUCAGGAACCGAGAUGAUUGUUGCUGCUGCAAAAAAGAUUACUAAAUGGGAGUGACCUCUGCUUGAUACAAUUAAGUGUAACAUUGAUGUCCUCUUACGAUAUCAAUAUCGGUUUAGCGGGGAUAGAUUUGAUGCUACGUGAUCACUUGGUCAAUUUAUUACUAGGAGAGCUUUAUUUCUUGGUCGUGUGGCUAGCCCGUUGUCGGGCGAAAUCAUAGGGUGUGUGAAACUCUUAAUUGGCUAAAGAAACGGUUCAGUAGAAUAAGAUUGGUAGUGGAAAGUGAUAAGCUACUUGUGAAGCAAGCGCUGGAAGAAAAUUUGAUGAAUUACUCUUAUUUUGAUUCUUCAGUUUUUCGUAAAACUCUUAUCAAAGAGUUACCUUUUCUUUCUUUGUCCGGCUGUUAAGAAAUCAGCAAAUCAGAUUGCCCAUUGUCUUGCUAAAACAUUUGUUUGUAUGUCUGGUUGAAUGGAGUGGGAUACUAACCCUCCAUCUCUCAUUAUAUUCAUUUCGAUAUGAAUUAUACACGAUGAAAGAACAAUUUCAAAAAAAAGAGUGAAUUUAUAAUUUAAAAGUUAUGAAUUUCUAUAAUUAUUUCAAAUCAAAUGACUAAAUUUUAUCAUCAAUUUUUUUAUAAAUAUGUGAUGAAUUUCGUAAUGUAUAUAUAUUAUAAAUUUUGAAUCAACAUUAAAAAAUUGAACCCAUAGUCUGACACUAUAAGGAGGAUCAAUCUGUUCCUUUUUAGAUGAAAAUUUUCAAAAUAAAAAUUUAUAUACCUAAAAAUUAGAUAAAAUAGUAUAAAUCUAUAAUCAACAUUAAAAUAAAAAAAAAGUUUCCAACGGUGCAAUUAAAUGAAGACCAUUGAAUUUGUGUCGCCCGUCGGCGAGUUGCGAGUAUGGUAGUUGGAAGGGAAAGUACAUAUACGUGGGAAAUAAGCAAAGAACGUGGCCAUGGCUGAAUCCUUGCAUAAUUAAUUACUACUAUAUUAACCUGUUCUCACAAGCUGAAUUUGUACACUACUUCUCUACCGCAUUUCAUCGAACACUUGAAAGGUUAUGGCCGUAAAGGAAGACAAAAAGCCAUCAGUAGAGAUCAACAAUCUCAAAUUCACCUACCCUGGUAUCGAUGGACAUCCGCCUCCCGGAUCUACCCCUUUGAUAGAUGAUUUCAACCUUACCCUUUAUCCCGGUGAUCGAUGCCUUCUUGUCGGAUCUAAUGGCGCAGGUUCUAAUUCUAUUUCUAUUCCGCACAUUGAAAUUUUGAAUUACUCUCUUUAGUAUAAUCAAGAAUUCUAAAGGGGUUGCUUUAAACUUGUUUCUCGUUGCUGCUAUCUCCAAUUCCGAAUUUUUAGGGUGCCUUUUGGCUUUGGUGUUGAUGAAAUUUUGUCUUUUCUAUUCUCUUGUGGAAAAAAGUUAUUUUUUUAAUGAUGUUUCCACCAUUAAAAAGGUAUAACCGUAUAAGGAUAGUGUUUUGACAUAUUCUUUUCUAGUAUUAAAGGUUGACAACAAUGUUUAGAUGUCUAUUGUAGUGAGCAAAUGGAGUAAGAAUUGUCAUAUUUGUACAGAAAAAUGACUUGCCUUCAUAAGGGAGAGGAUGUCAUCUUGCUUAUUUUGCUAGAAAUUGUAGAAAACAUAGCUAACCAAACACUGUAUAAACAUUUUUUGCCCUACCAAAGGCACCCCCUUAAUAGGAGGUUUGAUUGAGAUCUGAGAGACAUGUUCUUUUGAUAGGGAAGACUACAAUUCUGAAGAUAUUGGGAGGAAAGCAUAUGGUAGAACCAGACAUGGUCAGAGUGCUUGGAAGAUCUGCAUUUCAUGACACUGCUUUAACGGCUUCUGGAGACCUCAGUUAUCUUGGUGGAGAGGUAUCUCUUCUCUUGCUUUGCUCCUUCACUAUCUUUUCAUGGUUUAUUAUAUUUUGAGGACUGUUCGCUUCUUUAGUUUGUUAAUUGCAUGUAUUGGAACUUGGCAAUGUCGUCUUAUGUAACAAUUGAAUAAAUUCCAGCAGAACUAAGUGCUCUUCUGUUAUGUUUAACUAAGGUUACGUUCUUGCCUAGUUGGAGUUCUAUUUGGAAUCAGCUUUAAAAUUCAAUCUCUCUAACAUGGUUUCUCUCAUUUAUUCGUUGCUAGUUUCUACAUGUAAUAUGGUACUUUUCAAGAAGAUUUUAGUUAUAGAAGUAAUAUGCUAUAACAGUGCUAACAUCUUGUUUACGCUUGAUUAAACCUGUUUCCUGAAAUGACAAACAUGCCACAUCUUUUAAAUGAACUUGUGAAUUCGGAAAUUGAUUAUCAAAGUAGAAAACUAAGUUCUGUUGUGCUUUCUGUUUUGCAGUGGAGGAGAGAAGUUGCAUUUGCUGGAUUUGAGGUGCCUAUCCAAAUGGAUGUUUCUGCUGAGAAAAUGAUUUUUGGGGUUCCAGGAACUGAUCCACAAAGACGAGAUGAACUAAUUAAGGUACAGAUAAAAAUUAGCAAUUGUUAUCUGCGUGAAAUUCAACAAAGUCCCAUGGGCAACUCAAAAAGAUUGUAUCGUAUAUUCUGCUAGUGUUUUAAGGUAAACUGAAAGGUAUAGACCAUAUGCUAAAGCCUGGAAAAACUAUCUCUCUUUCUCUUCUUACUAAUUUUCCAGGCUUAAUCAGAAUUCUGUCUCUCAUGACAAGUAGGAGUGCUCUAACUUUGUACCAUGAUAAAAAUUGCUAAUGGGAACAAAUAAAUACACACAAACAUGCACGACAAACAACUAAAUCAGCAUAUGUUAAUAUUCUUAAUCUUAUGUUCAUGAAGGUUCUUGGUAUCGAUCUGUCCUGGAGAAUGCACAGAUCAUCUGAUGGGCAAAGAAGAAGAGUGCAGAUAUGUAUGGGUCUUCUGAAACCAUUCAAGGUAUAUCUGUAAAUACUUUCACCAAGUGAAAAGCAUUACCUUUUAACUGUUACAAGUUACUUGAAGACAAUGUUGACACAAGAUAGAACCCUGCUUGUCUAGGUACUACUUCUCGAUGAGAUAACAGUUGAUCUGGAUGUUCUUGCAAGGUCUGAUCUUUUGAAAUUUCUGAUCAAAGAAUGUGAAGAGCGAGGCGCUACAAUAAUUUAUGCAACACACAUUUUUGAUGGUCUUGAGAACUGGCCUUCUCAUUUAGUAAGAGCUGAUUCUUACUUACCUCUUGCUUUAUCUUUGGAUCUUGAGAUAAAUACCUAUUAGAAGGUCUGAGACAACCCAAUUGAAGUAUUUUGAGAAAUUGAAAAUCAGAACGUGCAUAACCCAAUAUCAUCAUACUUACAUUCCUUUUCAAGUUUGCAUUUGUUCCUUUGAAGGAUUCCUUGAAAAGUUAAGCGUUAGCUUCUUAAAAAUUAACAAAGUGAUGGUUAGAAUAAUUGUUUUAUUUGCAGAUAUAUGUGGCUCAUGGGAAGCUGCAAUUAGCAAUGCCAAUGGACAAGGUGAAGCAGAUCAGCAAUUUAUCACUAAUGGUAAGUUUCUGGAGUAUUUAGAAAAUGUAAAAUCCAAAAUAGAACCUCAUUCAGGUUUUCUUUGAAAUUCAAACAUGUUUCCUCUCAUACUCUUAGCUAGAGGUCCACAUCGAUAGAUGAUCUGAUUUCAUCUAAUACCUGGACAUUAUGACUGAAUCAUAUGAUAUAUACUGUGGCAAUUUUUCUCAUUUCGACUUUGCAUGGUCGUUCUACCUGGAUAUACAGAGGACAGUAGAGAGAUGGCUGAGGAAAGAAAGAGACGAGGAGAGGAAACGAAGGAAAGAGAGGAAGGCAAAGGGCCUUCCGGAAUAUGAAAAACAAGUUGAAGGCACUCGAGUGGUAGGGGGAGAUCCAGGUCGUGCUGCUGGUCGUCCAUUAAACAAUGGUUGGGCUGGUGGAACACUACAUUCUACUAUUGCUGGCGAAGAAAAUUUUUUCUUAAGCUCAAACCGUGUUCUAAGAUAAAGAGAACUGAUGCACACUUCUUUGGAACUGGUGUCAACGUACUUUACCAUUUCAUUCUUUCUGGUCAGAUGACCAUGAAACUAGGACUAAUAAAAUUUUAAAUUUGUAGAAUAGAAUUAUCUCUGUUCAUUUGGUUUGUAUACGUAUCUCCUAUUCUCUAUAUGUUCUUGUUGGUGUAAUCUUACAAAUUGAAUAGGUUAAAUUGUUGUAAACACAUUGCGAGCCCAAAUGUUUUUCCAAGUUGUGAUUGAAGUUUCAUGCUUUUAUAGAACACCUGUUGUUAAUUACGAAAUUCCUGAGCAAGUCAACCAAAAGUUUGAAUUAUGGAGAAGAAUGAAGAAUGGGUAUUGAGGAUAAUAAGUAUAAUUUAAGACAGAAUAUGAAUAUAUAUAUAUAUACAUAUAUUGCAUAACUCAUGUAAAAGUAAAGAAGUAAGCGGGAGAUUAGAUUAGAUUGUAGAGUCUAAAUGCUGACAAUUGGAAGUGUUUAGGAAGGUGUUGUGCCAUUGCAAGAAUCCUACCAAAGUGGAAGACAAACUUUAUAAAUGGGUGUGAUACAAGCUAUUAUAUGAUAUAUGAGGGUAAACAUAUAUACAAGAAGAGUACAACAUCGGAUGAUUUGAUGUGUAAGUUGUAACUAGUGGUGGCAAAUGGGCGGGUUAGGUAAAAUAUGGGUUGGUUGAAAAUGGGUAAUAAUUCAACCCGCCCAUAUUUGAUAUGGGUAAAAAUGAAUUGGGUAAGAAAUGAAUUGGGUAAAAUACUAGUUUACCCAUAUUUUCAUGAGUAAAUAGUACUCUACUUAAGAAUUCAACAUAGAGAAAAUAUUUUAGUCUUUUUUUAGAUGAAAGAUGUUGAAAAUGCUUCAUUUAGUUUUAUUGUAUCAUAAAAGUAAAAGAAAAAAUCCUAUAACUUUUCAAUAUAAAAUAAAAUUAUGUAAUAACAAGGGGAAAAUGUUUUUAAUUUCAAAGUAAAUGAAUAUUUGCAUUUUAGGACUAAAAUAUGCUUAAUGCACUUUAAUCAAUGUCAAUACUAAUACAUGAUUUGCCUAUUUUACACUAUGUAUUUAUUAUCCAAUAUGAAAUUAAACAAAUAAAAAAAGUAUAAUUAUAAGUAACAAAAGAAAUGUACAUUUAAAAUAUCUAUUUUUAGAGGGCCAAAGACUUCACCUUUUCAAUUAUAGUGAAAAAUAAUUAGUUCUAUAGAAGAACAUAAAAAGCAAGAGAAAUUACAAUAUUUUUAGUGAUAUCAUGAAUUUAUAGUGAAUAAAAUUAGAAGCUUAACCCAUUUGACAAAUCCAUACUUUACCCAUAUUUUACCCAUGUAAAAAAUCACUCACCCAACCCAUUAAAAUAUGGGCUCAUUUUGCCGGCAAUAGCUGUAAUGUACACCUUCAAGUGCAUAAGUAAUGUCAUGUAUUGAAGGUUCUAAAUUGGAACAAAAUUAAGGCUAAAAUUGCGUCAAUAAUACAAGUCAUACAUUUACUCAGUAUCGAACUAGUUCAGGUUGACAAGUAGAUCAGACACUAGUAAUAACUGGCUGUCAGUUUAUGGUUUGUUUAAGUCAUAUCAGAGUAAAAUUAUCACAAGUCUGCUCUGAAAGCUAAAAAUUAUUGAACUUCAUCUGUCAUAGAGUUAGACUUUGCUUCUCAACCAAACAAAAUAGUUCCAACUGAAUUUUGUUUAGUUGAGAUAGUAAAGACCUGCUCACCAGCAGUAUAGAAAAGCAGCACUGGGAGAGAACCUCAAGUCUUAAUUUAAACAAAAUGCUGAAAGCGGAGUAAUUGAGAAUAUGUAAACCCAGAGUGUAAAAUAUUACAUGAAUUCAACUAAAGUUACUGUAAAGUAACAUUCUUUUAAAGAAAGGAAAAUGUACUGAAAAAAAUAUAGUGAUAAGUGGAUCUAUCUCGCAUAAGAAAGAUAAGCAGGUGCACAAGUGCUCUAGACAUUGUUGAAGUCUAUAUUGACAAAAAUAUAGCUGCAAAAAUCAUGGAUCUCAUGUUCAACUCUGCAAAAACAAGGUCAUUGGAAAAUUAGAGCAAAUUUAAGUGAAAUAAAAUCUAAUCUGAUAAUGCGCUCCAUACCUUGUUUGCAAUGUUGUUUGAGAGCCAGUCAAGCCCCUCAUACAACCCUUCUCCAGAGGUAGCACAUGUGCUCUGAAUGUACCUGUUAUAGAAAGUCAUAGAUUCAGCAUUUGGUAGCACAUACAAUCAAAUAUCAAUCUCCAGCACCAUGCUCAAUUAGCACAUAUACUUGAUUAUCUUACAAAUAAGGGAACACCAAAUAGUACAUACCAGUGGCGUUGACGGAGGGAGUGCAAACCAAGCUUGUCGGUAAUCUCAGCAGCAUUCAUAGCAUUUGGAAGAUCUUGCUUGUUAGCAAACACAAGCAGCACAGCAUCCCUCAGUUCAUCCUAUGCAUACAUUGCAAAAUUCAUUCAAAAUAAGGUAUGAGUGAAAGGAACCAACCCCAAGAUGCUAACUAAGAACAGAAAGUUGGUGAAUACAGAUCAUUUCAGACUUUCAAGUGCUCCACGGACCCAUUUCCGGAUGUAUCUUGUGUAUGCACCCCACCAGACAUGGGCCUCCCCAAGACACGAUAUAAUCUUAAAUGAAAGAACGAGGGUGUGUGAUGCAUACCUCAUUCAACAUACGAUGCAGCUCAUCUCUAGCCUCAACAACACGAUCACGAUCAUUACUAUCAACCACAAAGAUAAGUCCUUGUGUGUUUUGGAAGUAAUGCCUCCACAAUGGUCUGAUCUGGAAGUGCAAAAAUAUUGACAAGGAACAACAGACAACAUAAAGUAUGUCAAUAUCCGAAAGAAGUCAUGCCAUAGAAGUCAUUGCAUGUCUGCAGAUUUUAGAUAAGUAUGCACUUGAUAGCAGCAGAGCACACUAGAAUUCAAUGAUACAGAACAAAAUAUCAUAUCUUGGUUUUAUAAUUCUUCUAUUCUGGUGAGUAUGAACAUUUAGUGAAAAAUCAGAAAAAUGAGCAUGAUGAAUUUGAAAUACUAGUAAGAUAAAGAAAAUAUAAUUCCAAAACCAGAAAUGCUCUUUCUAUAACUUGCAAGUUGAAGUAAGGUCAGUGUGAAGUCAGCCAAACUCAAGGUAGAAGAACUUGCAAUCAUCUUCUAAUGUCAGAUACUGAAAAGAGCAUAGCACUUUGGUUUAAGGCACUAAGUACCUUGUCCUGACCCCCGACAUCCCAGACAGUGAAGCUUAUGUUCUUGUAUUCAACAGUCUCCACAUUGAAUCCUGAUAAAGAAAGAGUUAUUGCAGAUAACAUUAAGAGAAAUAGCUUGCAUCAGUACAAAUAAGACAAACGUGUCAGCAGAACAACCAUGCUUCUAGAAACAGAGGACAUAAUUGUGGUGUGCAUAGCUCAUAGCUGUUUGCAGCAGUAUUUGGAUCUAGACUAUUAAAUAUAUAUUGAAACAGAACAUCAGACAUCUUGAAGGGUUCCUUAUAUCUUACUACAUGCUGAAGAUGGAAGUUUGGCAUGCUCUGAAUUAUCAACAAAUAUUCGGGACGUCUCUUAAAUAUAUAGUUUGCUGAAGAAAAUGACCAAUGAAGGAAAUGGGACCCUUUAACCUUAUAACCAAGUGUUUUCUAUGUCGCUGUUUGAAGUUAAGCUCUCUUUACGGUUUUACAACUGGUAAUAGAAGGUUAGUCCCUGCAGUAAGACAGUGUGAUUUUCAUUUGCCACUAGGUUCUAGAGAGAUUAAGUCAGUCUGCAGAAAGAAGGAGCGCUCGCAAGAAUAUUGCUGAAGAUUCAGUUAGAUUUGUUUUUUUGUGGGGUCAUAGUUGAUAUCUUCUGUUUAAAGUAAUAAAUUUUGCUGACAAGAAGAUAGUUUUGAUUAUUGACUUGUCUAGUUUGGUGGUUAAACCAAUGUGUUCAACAAGCUCUACUACUAUAUAGUAUUCCAUUGGAGGUUAUUGCAAAGAAACUCUGUAAUACUAUGAUCGGGCAAUGGAUGUUUUGGGGAUGGCACAUGACUGUUCCAUUAUUCUUAUCAGAAGUGUGUAAUGGAGUGAUGAAGCCUGCUCACUUGCGAACUUCUAAGGAUGUUUUGUAUUCACAUGGAUACUUAAGGGUGUAGCUUAAAUUGUGGGUUUAAUAUAGAGAUGUUUAGGCAGAAACUCACGACAGUGUUCCGAUCAUAAUGAUAUAUUAGUUCUGCAAGCAAUAAAACAUCUAUAGUACACACAACAUAAAUUACCAAUGGUAGGAAUAGUGGUAACAAUCUCUCCCAGCUUGAGCUUGUACAAUAUGGUGGUUUUACCAGCUGCAUCAAGACCCACCAUCAGAAUACGCAUCUCCUUCUUGGCAAACAGCCGACUGAAAAGCUUCCCGAAUGAUAAACCCAUCUUUUUUCAAUGCCUGUUGGACCAAAAUUAAGAUUCAAUUACCACACACAUUCACCUAUCAAUCAAGCUUAAGACAACAUAUUUUAUUGAAUCAAGAGGUUACAUAAAUGCACAAUACAAAAUUAUGAUCUUAAGCCAACAUAAAAAUCCAAAUUAUGGCGUGGUACUCCUCUUAACAUACUGAUCUAAGCCUUCAUUUUCAAUACAUUUGAUGUAUCAAAAAAGCAACUGUUGGAUCUUUAUCAAAAGAUUUCAUCAUAAAUUUCAAUAAUCCUUUAUUCAUCGAGAGAUCUAGUAGCAACAAGUUUAACAAUUAAAAGAAUCAAGAACCCCUCUACUUAGAACGGAUCUUGGGCAAUGACAAUCCGGAUCCAUUUAUCAAAAAGAAGAAGCACCCAAAUCAAGAUCCAAAAAGAAGAAGAACCCAGAUGAAGAAAGCAAGCAUACGGAGAUCAAAUCAAUACAAUAAAAAUACAAGAAAUCAAAGAAAGAUGAAAACUUUAUCAAAUUCCCAGAUCCAAAAAGCCAAAAUCCAGAUCUCCAAUUCAACAAACUUUUCAAUCAAGAAAGAGAUACAUACAUAAACUUUGUCAAAUCAAUUGUUAUGAACCGAACGACGCGUAUGUGACAGAUAUGUAAUACAAAGGAAAUGGAGGAGAGAGAUCUUACGGUGAUGAAGAAGGAAUCACAGAGAGAGAGAUAGUGGGGGAGUUGAUCUAGAAAAGGACUGCCCUUUGUAUAAUUGACAAGAAAUGAGAACCUUUGGAUGUUCUCUUCUUGUUUUAGCAAAACCUCUAAUAUUUUAAUGUCAACCCUAUUAAAUUGUCACAAUUUUGAAUUUUCAAAUAUUAAGUUACGGAAUUGGAUUCUUUUACUAGGCACACUUCUUUGGAACUGGUGUCAGCGUAAUACUCCCUCCAUCCACAAUUAUUUGGCAAGUAUACUAAAAAUAGAUGUCCAAGAUUAAUUGUCAAUUUAAAUAAUCAAGAAACAAUUAAUCACCUUUUUUUCAAUUCUGCCCUUAAUGAUAGUGUAGUUCAAUUGAAAAGUUAUGUAGACUUUUGAUAUUCUUAGUAUAAUAGGGUUAUAUUAAGUCAAAUUACACCUUCUAUUAAAUUUUCCUUGAGGGUAUGCAUGACCUUAUCCUGACAAACAAUUGUGGACGGAGGGAGUAAUAAAAAGUUUGUGUAAUCUUAUAAAUUGAAUAGGUUAAAAUUGUUGUGAACACAUUGCGAAUCCCCAUUUGUUUUUCUAAGUUGUGAUUGAAGUUUCAUGGCUCUAUAGAAUACAUGUACGAUAUUGUGUUAACUACGAAAUUCCCAAGCAAGUCAACCAAGAGAUUGAAUUAUGGAGAAGAAUGAAGAAUGAGUUAAUAACGAUAAGCAUACGUUUAACAUAUAUAUUUUGCGCGUUAAUAUAUAUAAGGGAAAAGGGUCUGAUAUACCCCUCAACUUUGUCAUUUGGAGUUGAUAUGCCCCCGUUAUGAAAGUGACUCAUAUAUACCCUUACUGAAACAAAUGGCUCACAUAUACUCCUACCGUUACAAAAUGAGCUCACAUAUACCCUUCAUUUAACGGAAGUGAAAAAAUUAAUUUUAAAUUUAUAUUUUUGACUUUUAAUUUUUUUAAAUCAUUUAGGGGUAUAUAUGAUUCUUCUAGCAAAGUUCAAGGUAUAUUUCAAUUUUUUUCAUACAUAAAUUAUUUUUUGACUUCUUUGAUUUUCAUUAUUUGAGUUUCUUAUCCUUAUUUUAUUUUUUUCUUUCAUUCCUUAGUGUAAAGAAAAANNNNNNNNNNNNNNNNNNNNNNNNNNNNNNNNNNNNNNNNNNNNNNNNNNNNNNNNNNNNNNNNNNNNNNNNNNNNNNNNNNNNNNNNNNNNNNNNNNNNNNNNNNNNNNNNNNNCACCAUGUGAUUCCAUAUCAUGAUUUGAGAUAUUUUAAUACAAUAAUUGAUCCAUGAGUUUAUAUUUUGUUAAAACAACCCCACAUUUAUAUCUACUAACCAUUUGUUUCAUAUGUAAAUAAAAUUUAUAAUCACAUCAUUACUUUUUAAAAUUUAUUAUUCUCACCAAUAUAAAAUUUAUUAUUACUUUAAAUUUGGUGAAUAUAAAUGAUAAAGUAGAAAUUCAUUUGGUGAAUAUAAAUAAGAACGAAGGGAGUAAUACUUUUUUGAUUUUUCAUAAUAAAAAAAAACUUCUUAAUCUUAUGACUAAGCAAAUAUAAUAUUGAUAAAAGACAAUUUUCAUUGGCGGUGCCGCAUUUUCUUAAUCUUAGUAUUUGCAAAAUAUUCGUUCACAUGACUGAAGGAUAUCAAGUCCAAUUGAUUGAGGNNNNNNNNNNNNNNNNNNNNNNNNNNNNNNNNNNNNNNNNNNNNNNNNNNNNNNNNNNNNNNNNNNNNNNNNNNNNNNNNNNNNAAUUUGAUCAAUUAGUUAUUAAUAUUUAGUCAAGUGGACUAGUUAUAAUUUUUUUGAUUAAAUUUUAUUAGAAGUGUUUUUGACUCAAACUUGUGGUAACUUUUUAAAAUUUCGUUAUUCAAUAAUAUUUAACUAUUGAUUUUUCUUGUAAAUAGUUAGAAGUUAGUGAUGUUUGUUAAUUUUUAUCUUAGUGCAUUUAACUUCUAAGUUAAUAUUUACUCACUAAUGUAUGUUUUUUCCCUACUUUAUAGGUUAUUUGUAAGAGUUGUUGAGAGAUAUGAACAUAUCAAGUACAAUUUAUGUUCAAUUUUUUUUAAUUAAAUUAAAGUUAGAUGAAACAAUUAUUUAACUGAAGAACAAAUAACUUUGUAAUAAUUUAUUAUGCGAUUUUAUAAUUUUUGUUUAUUUGAUAAGAUUGAAUAAACAAUUGGGGCUAUUUUAAUAGUUUUACAUCUUAUGGGAUUUUUAUGUUUAUGAGAAAAUAUACAACACAAAAAUUUCAUAUCGCAUGUCCAAACAAACCUUCAAUUUCAUCUCAUGAUUCCAUAUCAUGAUACCAUAUCAUGAUACCAUAUCGCAUGGCCAAACGGGCCCUAAAUAUACCCAUAUGGGAUUAUAGUUUUUUUUUUAAAAAAUAAUUAAAAAAAUUAAACUAAAAUUAAUUUUUUUUCAUUUCCGUUAGAGGGAAAGGGUAUAUGUGAGUCAUUUGUAUAUAAGUAGGGGUAUAUAUGAGCCACUUUCAUAACGAGAGGUAUAUUAGCUCUAAAUGACAAAGUUGAGGGUAUAUCAAACCCUUUGAAGCUAACUUGAGAUUAGAUUAGAUUGUGGUGUCUAAAUGUUGAGUGUUAGGAAGGUGUUGUGCCAAUGGAAGAAUCCUACCGAAGUGGAAGACAAACUUUGACAAGCUUUAUAAAUGGGUGUGAAACAAGCUAUUAUGAUAUAUGAGGGUAAAUAUUAGGUCUUAGAAGUCCAACAGAUAUACAUGAAGAGUACUCCUAUCUUGGAGAUUGAAAAACUAUUUCUGACAGACCUUUGGCUCAAGAAUAUAUACAAGAAGAGUGUCAUAAGAAUAUUGACAUUAUAAAUGAUCACAUGCGUCAAUGGUCAAAGGUACAAAUUACGUUAUGCUAUUGCCACGUAUUGAAAUUUGAAGGGAACUGCUUGUUGCUGUUAACAGUAUAACUAAGUGUGCCAUGCUUAAUUGCUUAGUGAAUUUUGUUAAACUACUUGGCUCCAAAUCCUACAUUUUUUGCAGAUUGCUUAAAGAGAACAAGCCACCACACAAAGGCAACAGAGUUGUCUUGCUACUGACCGUCUGCUCUUUUCUUUUCUUGCUUUUUAAAUUUUUUUAUCAUCAAUACAUCGGGGUUAAGUUGGGGGAAAUGGGGAAGAGAACUAUAAGGUGGGAUCCAAAUUCUCACCAACAAAAUGAAAAUUCAAGUAGCCAACCAACUAAACUACUAAAAUCCCCUCUCAACAAGAUGAAGUUUACUCCUAUUAAACUUCAUCUUGUUAUAGAGUUGUCAUCGACAUUAACUUCUCAACCAAACAAAAUAGUUCAAACUGCUGCAGUAAAGAAAAGCAGCCAUAACUAAAACCAACGAACACUGGGAGAGAACCUCAAGUCAUAAUUAAAACAAAAUGUUGAAAGCAGAGUCAUUGAGAAUAUGUAAACCCAGUGUGUAAAAUAUUACAUGAAUUCAACUAAAGUUACUGUAAAGUAAACAUUCUUUUAAAGAAAGGAAGAUGUACUGAAAAAAUAAUACUGAUAAGUGGAUCCAUCUCGCAUAAGAACGAUCAGAAGGUGCACAAGUGCUCUAGACAUUGUUGAAGUCUAUAUUGACAAAAAUAUAGCUGCAAAAAUCAUGGAUCUCGUGUUCAACCCUGCAAAAACAAGGUCAUUGGAAGAUUAGAGCAAAUUAAAGUGUCAAAUAAAAUCUAAUAUGAUAAUGUGCUCGUUCCCAUACCUUGUUAGCAAUGUUGUUUGAGAGCCAGUCAAGCCCCUCAUACAACCCUUCUCCAGAGGUAGCACAUGUGCUCUGAAUGUACCUGUAAUAGAAAGUCAUAGAUUCAGCAUUAGGUAGCACAUGCAAGCCCGUAUCAAUCUCCAGCACCAUGCUCAAUAAGAACAUAUAAUUUGAUAUCUUACAAAUAAGGAAACACAAAAUAGUACAUACCAGUGACGUUGACGGAGGGAGUGCAAACCAAGCUUGUCGGUAAUCUCAGCAGCAUUCAUAGCAUUUGGAAGAUCUUGCUUGUUAGCAAACACAAGCAACACAGCAUCUCUCAGUUCAUCCUAUGCAUACAUUGCAAAAUUCAUUCAAAAUAGGGUAUGAGUGAAAAGAACCAACUACAAGUUAACUAGAACAGAAAGUUGGUAAAUACAGAUCAUUUCAGACUUUCAAGUGCUCCAUGGGACUAUUUCUGGAUGUAUCUUGUGUAUUGCACCAGACAUGGGCCACCCCAAGACACAAUAUAAUCUUAACAGAAAUAACAAGAGGUGGGUGUUGCAUACCUCAUUCAACAUCCGAUGCAGCUCGUCUCUAGCCUCAACAACACGGUCACGAUCAUUACUAUCAACCACAAAGAUAAGUCCUUGUGUGUUUUGGAAGUAAUGCCUCCACAAUGGUCUGAUCUGGAAGUGCCAAAAAAUUGACAAGGAACAACAGACAAUAUAAAGUAAGUCAAUAUCCGAAAGAAGUCAUUGCAUAACUGCAGAUUCUAAACAAGUAUGUACUUGAUAGCAGCAAAGAACGCUAGAAGUCGAUGAUACAGAACAAAAGAUCAUUUCUUGGUUUUAUAUUUCUGUUAUUCUGGUGGCUGGUGAGUACGAACAUGAAAAAAUCAGAAAAAUAAGCAUGGUGAAUUUGAAAUACUAGUAAUAGAAAGAAAAUAUAAUUCCAAAACCAGAAAUGCUCUUUCUAUAACUCGCAACAUGAAGUAAGGUCAGUAUGAAGUCAGCCAAACUCAAAGUAGAAGCACUUGCAAUCAUCUUCUAAUGUCAGAUACUGAAAAGAGCAUAGCACUUUGGUUAAGGCACUAAGUACCUUGUCCUGACCCCCAACAUCCCAGACAGUGAAGCUUAUGUUCUUGUAUUCAACAGUCUCCACGUUGAAUCCUGAUAAAGAAAGAGUUAUUGAAGAUAACAUUAAGAUCAAUAGCUUGAAUCAGCACAAAUAAGACAUAUGUGUGUCAGCAGAACAAACCGUGCUGCUAGAAACAGAGAACAUAAUUGUGGUGCAAAGCUGUUUGCAGCAGUAAUUGGAUCUAGAAUAUUAAAUAUAUAUUGAAACAGAACAUAGGACAAAUUUAUGUAACAAUUUACAAAAAACAAGCUAGUCAUUCAUGUAAAAAGUGAUGCACCCUUGCGCGGUAGCUGCGGAAUAGCUUUCUGUGCCCUGAUUUAUCAACAAACGUCUUGAAGGGUACCUUAUAUCUUACUACAUGCUGAAGAUAGAAGUUUGGCAUGUUCUGAAUUAUCAAAAAAAGUUUGGGACGUCUCUUAUAUGUAUAGUUUGCUGAAGAAAAUGACCAACGAAGGAUAUAGGACCCAUUUAACCCUAUGAACAAGUGUUUUCUAUGUCGCUGUUUGAAGCUAAGCUCUCUUUACAGUUUUACAACUGGACAUAGAAGGUUAGUCCCUGAAGUUAGAUAUUGCUGGUUUUCAUUUGCUACUAGGUUCAGUCUGCAGAAAGAAGGAGUCCUUGCAAGUAUAUUGCUGAAGAAUCAGUUAGAUUUAUUUUUUUCUGGGGGCACAGUUGAUAGCUUCUUAUUAAAAGUAAUAAAUUUUGCUGACCAGAGAAGGUAGUUUUGAUUAUUGACUUGUCUAGUUUGGAAUUUUAUUGGUGGUUAAACCAAUGUGUUCAACAAGCUCUACUACUAUAUAGUAUUCCAUUGGAGGCUAUUGCAAAGAAACUCUGCAAUACUAUGAUCGGGCAAUGGAUGUUUUGGUGAUGGCAUGUGUCUAGCACAUGUUCUAAGGAUGUUUUGUAUUCACAUGGAUACUUAAGGGUGUAGCUUAAAUUGUAGGUAUAAUAUAGAGAUGUUUUGGCAGAAACUACUAAUAACAAAAACAAAACGACAGUGUUCCGAUCAUAACGAUAUAUCAGUUCUGCAAGCAAUAAAACAUCUAUAGUACACACAACAUAAAUUACCAAUGGUAGGAAUAGUGGUAACAAUCUCUCCCAGCUUGAGCUUGUACAAUAUGGUGGUUUUACCAGCUGCAUCAAGACCCACCAUCAGAAUACGCAUCUCCUUCUUGGCAAACAGCCGACUGAAAAGCUUCCCGAAUGAUAAACCCAUCUUUUUUCAAUGCCUGUUGGACCAAAAUUAAGAUUCAAUUACCACACACAUUCACCUAUCAAUCAAGCUUAAGACAACAUAUUUUAUUGAAUCAAGAGGUUACAUAAAUGCACAAUACAAAAUUAUGAUCUUAAGCCAACAUAAAAAUCCAAAUUAUGGCGUGGUACUCCUCUUAACAUACUGAUCUAAGCCUUCAUUUUCAAUACAUUUGAUGUAUCAAAAAAGCAACUGUUGGAUCUUUAUCAAAAGAUUUCAUCAUAAAUUUCAAUAAUCCUUUAUUCAUCGAGAGAUCUAGUAGCAACAAGUUUAACAAUUAAAAGAAUCAAGAACCCCUCUACUUAGAACGGAUCUUGGGCAAUGACAAUCCGGAUCCAUUUAUCAAAAAGAAGAAGCACCCAAAUCAAGAUCCAAAAAGAAGAAGAACCCAGAUGAAUAAAGCAUACGGAGAUCAAAUCAAUACAAUAAAAAUACAAGAAAUCAAAGAAAGAUGAAAACUUUAUCAAAUUCCCAGAUCCAAAAAGCCAAAAUCCAGAUCUCCAAUUCAACAAACUUUUCAAUCAAGAAAGAGAUACAUACAUAAACUUUGUCAAAUCAAUUGUUAUGAACCGAACGACGCGUAUGUGACAGAUAUGUAAUACAAAGGAAAUGGAGGAGAGAGAUCUUACGGUGAUGAAGAAGGAAUCACAGAGAGAGAGAGAGGGGGCAGUAGAUCUAGAAAAACACUGCCCUUUGUAUAAUUGACAAGAAAUGGGCAACUUUGGAAGUUCUCUUCUUGUUUUAGCGAAAGCCUCACGUAUUUUAAUGUCACAAUUUUGAAUUUUCAAAUAUUAAGUUACAGAAUUGGAUUCUUUUAUUAGGCUUUUCACCGUAUAUUAGAGUAUUUCGGUUGAAAAUUUUCGAAUAUUGAACUGUAUUCGAUUGUAAUUUUUGUAAAUAAUAUUUAUGCAUAAAAUAUAAUUUACAUCCCUUGAUUUUAAAAAAUUAGUAACUAUUCAACUUAACUAAUUUAAUUUAAGCAAUCAACAGAAUUUGCUCUAAUAAGUAAUGUCACAUAAUGAAAUAUGAAUAGUUAAGUGAUGUUAUAAAUUAGAUCUCAUAUACAAAAUAUUAUAUGCUAUUAGCCUAUUACACUUCAUCAAUUUUUAAAUACUAUUAUAGAAAUUCAGUUUUUUGUAUUAUUAUUAUUCGAUAAAUGAGUGUUUUCAACCUUCGCUCGUAUAUAUGAGAUUUUACUUAGAAAAACAAAUCCUUGAGGAGAAAACGUGUUUGUUGAGGGAUUUUAUCAUUAAAAAGUUGGUAGCUAUUGAUUGUUGGGUAUUUAUGUUGGUUAGUGGCUGAUAUAAAUAGGGAAAAUUACACGAAAUAGCAAACAUCUAGAGUAUAUUAUGUAAUAUAACUAUAGUUUUGAUUAUUUUUAAUUUGUGGCUACAGUUUUACGAAAUGUUGUUAUUCGGUUCCUAAUUGUAUAAAUUUAGAAUUUGUAUAAUUCGGUUUCUGGUUGUAUAAAUUCAGAAUUAUUAUAUGCUUACCUUAGUUAUUUGUAUACAAUUAUUCCUUUUUUUUAAAAAAAUAAAAAUUCCUGGCUUGGUAGCUUUUUGGUGGAAAAAAAAAAUUGUGAUUUUUUUUUCUGAAAUUUCUGCCAAUUAGUCAAUAUCAAAUUGACUAAAAAAUUAUUUUUUUUUAGAAAACACUACCUUGGCAGCAAUUUUGGUGAAAAUUCUUUUCUUUUAAAAACAAAAUCGCUGCCUCGAUUUUAGUGGAAACUUUUUUAUUAAAAAAAAAAUUAAAAAAAUCUCUGCCAAUUGGUGAAAUUUUUUUUUUUUUAAAAAAAUCGUAUUAAUUUUAUUUUUUUAGUUCAGUGACAAUUAGCGAAAUUUCCUUUUAAUUUUUUUUUAAUUGUUCAACAUGUGAAUGUGUGAACAAUUAAUAAAAAAAAAAUUAAAAAAAUCUCUGCCAAUUGGUGAAAUUUUUUUUUUUAUAAAUAUAGCUGCCAAUUUUUUUUUUUUAAAAAAAUCGUAUUAAUUUUAUUUUUUUUAGUUCAGUGACAAUUAGCGAAAUUUCCUUUUAAUUUUUUUUUUAAUUGUUCAACAUGUGAAUGUGUGAACAAUUAAUAAAAAAAAAAUUAGAAGGGAAUUUAGCUAAGUGUCAGUGAACUAAAAAAAAAAGUUAAUACAAUUUUUUUUACAAACAAAUUGGCAGCGAUAUUUAUAAAAAAAAAAUUAAGAAAAGAUUUCCAUCAAUUGUCAAAGAUUUUUUUAAUUUUUGUUUUUUUUAUAAAAAAGUUUCCACCAAAAUCGCUGCCAAGGCAGUUUCUUCUAAAAUAAAAAUAAAAAUCGUCAUUUUGAUGUUGACUAGUUGGCAGAUAUUUCAGAAAAAAAAAUCAAUUUUUUUCCACCAAAAAGCUGCCUAGGCAGGAUUUUUUUUUUCAAAAAAAGGAAUAACGCUACAACAGCAGCGAUUUUGAAAAUUAAAAAAAAACGGAAAUCGCUGCCAUGGCGAUUUCUAUAAAAAAAAAAAAAAAAAAAGCAAAAACGCUACAUGGGUAGCGAUUUUCUAGAAAAAAAGAAGAAGUUAACAACGUCAAACAAAAUUGUUGCGUCAUUAGCGAUUUUGCCCUUUUGGUUAGAAAAAAAAUUGAUGUGCUCUUUUGGAAUUUUUGUCAAUUUUUUUUGCCCUUUAGGCUCCGGACGCCAUCAAAGUUAUAGUAUUAGUAUUAAUAUCGAGUGAAAAAUUAAAGGAAGGAUACAUGUUACUGGGUUAUAAAACGAUAGUUUGUGAUAUUGUAAGCUCUUCAAAGUACUUGCAAACUAUAAACAAAAAAUAGAUAAAAAGUACAUGAUAUUAUAUAAAAUUGAAAGAAAAACAUGAAGACAUAAUAACAAUAUAUAUGUGCACCUAAUAAUAUUCUAAUUUAGUAAAUAAAUUCUCAAUUCUAGUACAUGUUAUAAUUAUAAUCAAAUGAAUCGAAUUAGAAAUUAAGAAAGUGUAUUAAAGCAUAUAAGCAAUCAUUCAAGACUUAAACCACGUGGGAAAAAAACUGUUCUUGUGACAAACAAAAACGAGUCUAAGUUUUUCUUUCUCUAUCCUAAUUUAUGUGACACUUUUCAUUUUUUGAGAAUCUUCAAAAAAUUUGAAAUGAAAUUUAUAUAUUUGUAAACUACAUAAAAAGUACUAUAAGUCACAAUAAUUAAUAAUUUAAAAUGUUUAAAAGAUUUAUGAAAAACUUACGGUCAAAGAUAACCUUGCUUGAAUCUCAAAAUUCGAAAAGUACCGCGGAAACAGAAAGAGAUACCUUUUAAAUCAUUGAUUUUUAAUUUGUUCCAUUUUGUUUGAUUUUUUUUUUUUUUUUUGAAUGUAUCAAGUUAUAACAAUGAAAAGUGGUCAUUAUAUUUGUGAACCAAGAACAAUGGUAAUGAUGUAAUGAUACAACAAAGUUUUUAGGCUUGCUCAGCUAAAUAAUACUCUUCUACAACUACUUGAUAAAGUCCAUGCAUUUUUAAUGCUGCAACUGCAUUUCCAUGUCCUUUUUCUGUUUUUCUUUUUCAAUAUCACCAAUUUCUUCAUCAAAUUCUAUUGGAAGCUUCAACUCGUUAUUUUUUCCCCAAAGUACUCCAUAAAGUCCCAAUACUAUCAGAAUUGACCCUACAACCCUGAAAGUAAUUACAAAAAAUACACAUUAAUUAAUUAUUCCAAAUAAUGACGAUGAGUCGAUGAAUAUGUAUACUUUAAUUUAAUAAUUAACUUACGUUCCGAUGUAGAUUUUCUCUUGAAGCAAACCCCAGCUGAGAAUAGCUACAAUUACUAGCAAUAAUGGAUUGAAUACUGAAACAUACAAUGGACCUUUUCUUUCUAUGCACCAUGACAUUAAGCAGUAAGCUAGUGCAGUGCACACCACUCCCUGUAAUUUUAAAUUAAAGUAGCGCGUUAUUAAUUAGUCACACUUUUUUACACAAUCAAUAUAUUUUAACCUGUAUAUAAAUUAAAUACGUACCGAGUAAAUAGAAGAGACAGCUCUGAUGCUAUGGCUCAAAGACCAAUCAGAUAUAUUAUGAUCAAAGCAAAUUCCAACAAUCACACAUUGAAAACUAGCCAUUAGACACAUCAAAGCUGAGCUAGAAUAAGGAGCUGCAUACACCAUGCUUAGUUUUGCCUGACCAAAAAUAAUAAUAAUAACAUAUCAAUUGAAAAAUUAUAAGAAUUAAAAUAUAUUGAUGAAUAUAAAAUUUGUUACCUGAAGGAUGGACCAAAUUCCCCAAGAAACAGCACUAAUAAUGAGUAGAAAAGGGCCUAAUAUGAAAUUUCCAUGGCUUGUGGUGCUUUUAUUUUGUGUCAUGUCUUGUGCAUAUUUCCAAUGGAUGUUUGGUUGAUCAAUUGGAACAAUAGAUCCAUGGUAAAAUGACAAUAACAUAGCACCUCCUACACAUAAUAUUGUUCCUAACAUCUUUGCUUGCCCUGCUUUACUCCCAAGUCCCACUCUUUCUAGCCUGUCAAAAUUUACAAGUUUGAAUCUCGAAAUUUUAACGAGUACUUAAUUAAGUAACUAGUGAGGUCAUGAUGAUGAUUACCCAAAAGGGAUAGCUAGAAGAAAAGUGACAGCUGGGGUUAGAUUUGACAAAGCACAUGAAAUAGUUGGAGUUGUAUUCUUGAGGCCAACAAAGUAUGUUAUUUGGUUCAUACUAACCCUGCAAAAUCAUAUCAAUUGAGCCUUUAUCAGAUUUUUACUUUACAAUUUCAAAGCAAAAGUUGUAUACUCUAAUUAGAAACUAAAGUUGAAGAAGUGACUCACCCAAAAAUAGAGCACAAGAAAAUCUGGAAAAGGAUGGAUGGAGUUAACUUUGGCCUUGUUUUUCUGCACAAAACCCACUUCAAAUAUUAAAUGAAAAUUGAGAGAAAAAAGAAAAAAAAACGUACGUAAUCCAAAUUACUGUCCAAUGCAAAAAAUAUUUUGUACAACUAAGUUGAUUAGUGCUAUAUUUAUUUCUUACUAUAUCAUUUUCCUAGAGUUAUGUGAUUAUAUUUUUGGCUAAACUAGACUAGAUAACAAAAAAAAAAAAAGGAAAUAACAAAGACUCUAUAUUAAUCAACCUAAUAAUACCCCUAACAUGAAAUCUUGUUGAUUUGUUUCUUCCAUUUUUUUUCUCCUUCACAAUGAAAAAAUAAUAAGGAUAAAAUAAAAGAUAAAGAUGACACUAAUUAAAGAAAUCAAGAAAAUGCAAGAUUCUAGGCAUAAAGAAGGUGGAAAUGAAGAAGCAAGCUAGUUAAGCCAUGUCUAUUUCGUGAACCAUUUGCAUGGUUCCAAGAAUAUAUAUAUAUAUAUAUAUAUAUAUAUAUAUAUAUAAUAUAAAAAAAAAAUCAUGAAAAAAUCACCCAAACAACAAUAAUAUGCAUGCAAUUUAGGCUUUAAAAUUCUUGGAGAAAGAGAAAAUAGAAGCCAUAAAUGGUAGAUAUACUUUUACAGACUAUUUAAUUUAUAGGCACAGUAUAAAGUUUGUACCUUUCCAAGAAAUAUGCAAAUGGUGCAAUUGCAAUGGUAGCAAAUAUUUGUCUGUAAGCUACAUGAACAAAAGGGUUCAUGCCUGAAUCCAUUGCAAGCUUUGAAAUAAUAUUCAUCCCUGCAUACCCUAAUUGUACAAUCACCAUAGUCAAGAAAGGCAACAAGUCAUUCCCCAUAUUAAUUCUUCUUCUCCAAAUUCACAACCUCUUGAUCAGAAUUAACAAGAAGAAAAUGAAAAUGAAGAAAGAAGAGAAAUGAAAGAUUAAAGAAAAGGGGUUAGUUUUAUAAUGAGAAGUGUUUGUCAUGUGUCAUAUUUAUAUGUACAAGAAAAUUAAUUAAAGGGCUUUUGUGAAGUUCAAGAAAUGACCUGUAUACUGAGAAAAAAAAAAGAAAAAA
This 74413-nucleotide long non-coding RNA is filed under the name Solanum tuberosum (potato). RNAcentral's name for it is "long non-coding RNA (STUB_LNC002309)". Lineage: Eukaryota; Viridiplantae; Streptophyta; Magnoliopsida; Solanales; Solanaceae. The record is from RNAcentral.